UCGCGAGAUCUGAUAUUGCUCCUGGACUAUAUAAUGAGACACACGCUCUUUCAAAACUCAGAAAAGCUGCGGCGUGGAGGAGAGCUGGUUCUCUUCUUACUGGCAGUUUUCUGUAACUCCAGCCAUUUGCAGUAGACGCCUGAGGAGACAAGAAUUAUUUCUUGUUUUUAAAGAGAGGACCAAAUAAAAUUUCUGAUAUCCUAUGCCAAGUACAUGGGUUGAACUAUAAGCCCACUUUUGAAGAUAGGCUGGCUGGUCAGCAAGUCCCUGGUAUUUAUUUGUCUCCGUCUCAAAUAGACUGGUAUGUACUCUCACUUCUAAUAUUUUAUGUGAGUGGUAUGUAUUUGAAUUUGUAUUCUCAUGCUAGAAUAUCAAGUGCUUGUACCAACUGAACUAUCUUCCUGGCCCUGUGCUUUCUCCUCCUUUUUAAUUUUUAUUUUGGGAUCUCAAGGCCUGGAAAUGGGGCCAUAUAUAUUAGGAUAGAUCUUCUGUCCUCAUUUUCUCUAGAAAUGCCAUUAUGGACAUGCUUAGAGGUAAGUGUCCUAGGUAUUUCCAAAUCCAAUGAAACUCAACAAUGGAGAUGUAUAACCACAUUUCAUUUACCUAUUUGUGUCAUUUAUUUAUGAUUUUUCUUUUUCAGAAAUGUAAAACUGUAUCUCUGUAUAAUAACUUUUGAAUGUAGGUGCACGUAUAAACAAGAAGAAGGUGUCAGGAACCCUAGAGAUUGAGAUACAGGCAGUUGUGAGCAACCUGACCUGGGAACCAAACUCUGAUAUACUCUAAAAGCACUGACCCAUCUUUCCAAAUUAUAUUUGAAGGUAUUAUUUUGUAAAACUUUGAACUGUUAACUAUUUUCUUCUUAAUUAUGGGUUUUAUUAAUUUUGUUUUGUCAACAUUUAUUAAUAUACAUGAGUAAUUUUCUUUUUUCUUCAAUGUGCCUUUCUUUUUAUAUUUUUAUUAGAUUUUUUUAAUUUACAUUUUAAAUGUUACCCCCUUUCGCAGUUUCCCAUCCAUAAACCCUAUCCCAUACUCCCUCCCCAUCUAUGAGGGUGUUCCCCCUCCCCAUCCAUCCACCCCAUCCAGACUCACCGCUCUGAUAUUCACCUACACUAAGAGUGUCCAUCCUUGGCAGGAACAAGGGAUUGUCCUCCCAUUGGUGCCCAGUAAGGCCAUCCCCUGCUACAUAUGCAGCUGGAGCCAUGAGUCUAUCCAUGUGUACUCUCUAGAUGGGGGUUUAGUCCCUGGGAGCUCUGGUUGUUGUUCUUAUGGGGUCGAAAAGCCCUUCAGCUCCUUCAAUCCUUUCUCUAACUCCUUCAAUGGGGAUCCUGUUCUCAGUUCAAUGGUUUGCUGUUAGCAUUGGCCUCUUAUUUGUCAAGCUCUGGCAGAGCCUCUCAGGAGACAGCUGUAUCAGGCCUCUAAUCAGCAUGGAAUUGAGACUAUUGAUGUUAAGAAAUAUUAAGGACUAGUGAUUGUUAACACUUAUUUUUGUUGUGAGAGGUGUAAUUAUGUUUGUAUGGCUCUCUUCUGGGUUUUUUUGUUUGGUUUUGUUUUUGCUUUUUGUUUUGUUUUAUUGUUUUGUUUGCAAAAGAGUGUUAUUGCUUUUUCUAUGGUGUAGUUUACCUUCUUGUGUUGGAAUUUUCCAUCUAUUAUUCUUUGUAGAGCUAGAUUUCUGGGAUGAUAUUGUGUAAAUUAGGUUUUGUCAUGGAAUAUUGGUUUUUCCAUCUAUGUUAAUUGAGAGCUUUGCUGGAUAUAAUAGCCUGGGCUGGCAUUUGUGUUCUCUUAGGGUCUGCAUGACAUCUGUCCAGGAUCUUCUGGCUUUUGUAGACUCUGGUGAGAAGUCUGGUGUGAUUCUGAUAGGUCUGCCUUUAUAUGUUACUUGACAUUUUUCCCUUACUGCUUUUAAAAUUCUUUGUUUCGUGCAUUUAGUGUUUUGACUAUUAUGUGAGAGGAGGAAUUUAUUUUCUGGCCCAAUCUAUUUGGAGUUCUGUAGUCUUCUUUUAUGUUUAUGAGCAUCUCUUUCUUUAGGUUAGGGAUGUUUUCUUCUAUAAUUUUGUUGAAGAUAUUUACUGGUCCUUUAAGUUGAGAAUCUUCACUCUCUUCCAUACCUAUUAUCCUUAGGUUUGGUCUUCUCAUUUUGUCCUGGAUUUCCUGAAUGUUUUGGGUUAGGAGCUUUUUGUGUAUUACAUUUUCUUUAUCAGUGGUUUUAAAGGUAUCUUCUUUCUGCCUCUGAGAUUCUCUCUUCUAUCUCUUGUAUUCUGUUGGUGAUGCUUGCAUCUAUGACUCCUAAUCUCUUCCAUGGGUUUUCUAUCUCCAAGGCUUUCUCCCUUUGUAGUUUCUUUAUUAUUUCUAUUUCCAUUUUUUAAGUCCUGGAUGGUUUUGUUCAAUUCCUUUACCUGUUUGGCUGUGUUUUCCUGUAAUUCUUUAAGGGAUUUUUGUGUUUUCUCUUUAAGGGAUUCUACUUGUUGAAACCUGUGUUGUCCUUUAUCUCUUUAAGGGAGUUAUUUAUGUCCUUCUUAACGUCCUCUGUCAUCAUCAUGAGAUGUGAUUUUAAAUCCAAAUCUUGCUUUGCUGGUGUGUUUGGAUAGCCCAUAUUUGCUUUGGUGGGAGAACUGGGCUCUGAUGAUGCCAAGUUAGCCUUAGUUUCUGUUGCUUAUGUUCCUGCGCUUGCAUCUGGUUGUCUCUGGUGUUAGCUGGUCUUGCUGUUUCUGACAGUGGCUUGGUCCUCCUGUAGGCCUGUUUUCUCCCAGACAGAACUGGGUAGAGGGAGCUGUGGGGCCAAGCCAGCUCAGGGCAUGGGCAGAAACUCUCCCAGACUGCUCCUGGCUUCCUAUGUCCUGAGGGCUCCAGGUGUGUCCCUUGGAGCAGAAGUGGUGGUCUUACCUCUGAUCUCAGGUGUGUCAGUGCUUCUGGCAACUGGCCUUCACCUCUGGGCACAGUAAAAAACUGGAAGGAUCCUCUCUCCAACUGCUUCUAGGUUCCUGUGUCCAGAGGGUUUUAGGCUGGUUCCUCUUGUGCCAAGAAUGAGCAGAAGUGUUCUCCCCUAAGUUCUCAGGACUGUUCAGAUUUCUGAGAGUCCAGGUCUCUCCCCCACAGGAUUUGGGUACAGAGACAUGAGUUAUUUUUAUGUAAGCAUUUUCUAGUAUAAUUCAGAAAGCUUACUAAAAGGGAAUAGAUCCCAAGUUGAUCCAGUCACUGGAUGUCCUUGUCAGAAGAUUUGACUGUGGAUUGGUGACCCCAUCCCUCCACUGGGGGCCCUGUAUAUCAACUGGAGGUGGACUCUUGAGGUUCCAUCUCCUAACUGUUGGGAAUUUCAGCUAAAGUCGUCCCCUUUGAAUCCUGGGAGACUUUCACAUCCUGGUUCUCUCUUUCCUUCUUUCUCUUCUGUUAGAUUUAGUAUAUCUAGUUUUUGUUGAGGUCUUUGAUCCACUUAGACCUGAGGUUUGUGCAAGGUGAUAAAUAUGGAUCAAUUUUGAUUUUUUUACAUGCAAGCUUUGUCCAGUUAGACCAGGACCAUUUAUUGAAGAUGCUUUCUUUUUACCACUGCAUGUUUUUGUCUUUUUUGUCGAAGAUCAAGUAUAUGUAAGUGUGUGGGUUUAUUUCUGGAUCUUCAGUUCAAUUCCAUUGACUUACCUGUCUGUGUGUGUACUAAGAACCGUGCAGUUUUUAUUACUAUUUCUCUGUAGUACAGUUUUAGGUCCGAGAUGGUGUUUUUCCCCAGAGGUGCUUUUAUUGUUAAGAAUUGUUUUUGUUGCCUUUUCAUUUUUUGUUACAUAUGAAAAUGAGAAUUCCUUUUUCCAUGUGCUUGGAAUUUUGAUAGGGAUUGAAUUGAAUCUGUAGAUCACUCUUGGUAAGGUGGCCAUUUUUACUAUGUUACUACCAAUCUGUGAGCAUGGGAGAGCUUUCCAUCUUCCGAGUUCUUCUAGGAUUUCUUUCCUCGGGGACUUGAAGUUCUUGUCAUAUAGACCUUCCAUUUGCCUAGUUAGAGUUACACAAAGUUUUUAUAUUAUUUAUGACUCUAAUAAAUCAUGUUGUUUCCCUAAUUUCGUCUCAGCCCAUUUAUCUGUAUAAAGGAUUAUUAUUGACUUCUUUGAAUUAGUUUUAUAUCCAUUCUCUUUGCUGAAGUUUAUUAGUUGUAGACAUUCUCUGGUAGAAAUUUGGGGGUUGCUUAUGUAUGAUGUCAAGUUAUCUCCAGAUAGUAAUAGCUUGAAUUCUUUCUUUCAAGCUUAUAUUCCCUUAAUCUCCUUUUGUUGUCUCAUUGCUGUAACUAGGACUUCAAGUAUUAUAUUGAAUAGAUACGGAGAGAGUGGGCAGUCUUGUCUUGUGUCUUGUGUGGUGUUGCUUCAAGGUUCUAUCCAUUUAAUUUGAUGUUGGCUGUUGCUUUGCUUUUGCUUUUAUUAUGUUCAGGUAUGUUCCAUGAAUUCCUGAUUUCUGCAAGACUUUUAACAUUAAAGUGUAUUGUACUUUGUCAAAGGCUUUUUCAGCAUCUGAUGAAAGGAUCAUGUGAUUUUUGUUUUGACUUUGUUUAUAUAGUGGAUUACAUUGAUGCAUUUUUGUAUAUUGAACCAUCCCUGCAUCCUUGGUAUGAAGCUACUUGAUCCUGGUGUAUGAUGGUUUUGAUGUUCUGUUUAUGAAUAUUUUGUUGAGUAUGUUUUCCAUCUACAUUCAUAAGCAAAAUUGUUUUGAAUUUUCUUUGUUGCGUCUUUGUGUGAUUUAGAUAUCAGUGUAAUUGUGGCUUCAUAAAAUGGAUUAGGUAGUGUUUCUUCUGUUUCUACUUUGUGUAAUAGUUUGAGGAAUAUUGGUAUUAGCUCUUUUUUCUAGGUCUUAUAGAAUUCUGUACUAAAACCAUCUGGCCUUGGGCUUUUUUUUUCUUUGGGAGGUGUUUAAUAACUGCUUCUAUUUCUUUAGGAGUUAUGGGGCCGUUUAGAUAGUUUUUUGAUCUUGAUUUAACUUUGGUACCUUGUAUUUGUCUAGAAAAUUGUCCAUUUCCUCCAGAUUUUCCAGUUUUGUUGAAUAUAGGCUUUUGUAGUAGGAUCUGAUGAUUCUUUUAAUUUCUUCAGAUUCUGUUAUGUCUCCCUUUUCAUUUCUGACUUUGUUAAUUUGGAUACAUUCUCUGCCCUCUGGUUAGUCUGGCUAAGUGCUUAUCUAUCUUGUUGAUUUUCUCAAAGAACCAGCUCUUGCUUAUGUUGAUUCUUUUUGUAUUGUUUUCCUUUCCUCUAAUUAGUUGAUUUUAACCCUGAGUUUGACUCUUUUCUGCCUUCUGCUCUUGGGUGUGUUUGCUUUCUUCUGUAGUUUACAGAUAUGUGGUUAAUUUGCUAGUAUAUGAUAUCUCCAAUUUCUUUAUUAAAGCAUUUAGUGCUAUGGAUUUUACUCUUAGAACUGCUUUUGUUGUGUCCUUUAUGAUUGGGUAUGCUGUGCCUUCAUUUUCACUAAAUUCUAGAAAGAUUUUAAUUUCUUUCCCUGACCAACUUAUAGUUGAUUGGAGAGUUGUUCAGGUUCCAUAAGUAUGUGAGUUCUCUUUUCUUUUUGUUAGGAAAUGCAGCCUAAGUUCAUUGUGAUUAGAUCCACUGCAUGGGAUUAUUUGAAUUUUUUAUCUGUUGAGGUUUGUUUUGUGUCCGAUUGCAUGGUCAAUUUUGGAAAAGGUUCCAUGAAGUGCUAAGAACAAGGUAUAUUAUUUUGAGGGGAAUGGGGAUGUUCUGUGUAGAUAUAUUAAAUCCAUUUAGUUCAUACCUUCAGUUAGUUUCACUGCAUGUGUCUGUUUAAUUUCUUUUUCAUUGUCUACUUAUGAGAGUAGGGUGUUGAAGUCCCCCGGUAUUAUUUAUUGUGUGAUGUAAGGCAGUAAAGAAUCGCUUAGCAUUCACUGUUCACAAUGAUGAAACUGUAAAUCAGAAAAGUUACAUUUUCCGGGGUACACAUUAAUUCCGUCUUUGGAGACCACUCUGAGGUUCAGUGUUUGUGAAUCUUCUGUGCCAGCACAACCCCUUGUUGUUAGUUGAAGAAAAACUUUUAUUUAACUUCAUUCUUCCUAGAGCCUGUUUCUUCUUUUCAAGUUAUUUUAAUUUCAUGAAUACUACAAACAAGUAUUCUCCCUGUAAAAGUAUCUAUUUGUUUCAUUUCUGUACCUCUAGAGAACACUGUUUAAUGUUUAAUCUAUCAAUGUUUCAUGUCGUGAGAAACCUAAAGGAUGUUAAUAAAAUAGCACUAAAAUUAUAGAAUUUAAGUUUGCUUUCACAUACAUGGUAUUAUAUGUGACAAUCUAUUCAGGAAAUUUUUUACUUGUGUAUUUGAAGUACAUUUAUAUUAUCCCUUAAUAUUUCUUUCAUUGAUGAUAUAUUUAUAUAUUUGAUUUAUACAUGUACUAGAAUUUCUUGAUGGUUAGAACUGAAUUCCCCAUAUUUGUACUAUGUAUUACAUAGCUUGCAUACUGACUUACCAGUGUUUCUGCUUAGAUAGAAGCCAAGGAACUAUACAGCUAUUAAUGGAAAAGGUAUCCCAGUGGAAGUGCAUGCAGAGACAUUGGGACCCAGGAAGCACACAGCUCUGAGGUGGGACAGUGUCCUAAGGGAAGGGCAUCGUGAGAUGAGACAUGGUAACCCAGGAAACAUAUAGUUCUGAGAGGAGGCAUCCUCAGCAUCUCCUAGGGGGAGAGUAUCCCUAGCUAAGCUGAAGAGCUCCUGUUCAACAGCUCCUGCAGUGGCAAUUUACAAAGGCUGUAGGCUGAGGCAGGAAAGGUGCACAGCUGAGUGAGAGGCAGCAAUUUUUGAAGCAGAAAAGGAGAUACACUACCAUGAACUGCCCCUAUGAUGAUUACAGGCUAAGGAGAUCUUGGGCCACCAUUUUGAGAUCUCCUGUGCGAACAUUUUACUACCAUAGGCUGGGGCAGGAAGGAGGGGAUGACUGCAGUUUUGAUGGAUUUUUGAGGCUCAGGAACUACAUUACCUCCUUCAAGGUAUAUACGAAGAUAGCUGCUAUAAACAAAUACCUUGCGUAUAUCCUGGCACAAUUAUAUAGGAGUGUGAAUAGAAGUUCUUACAUCAUCUUGUUAUCAGUUCUGCUUCACUUCCUUAAGAACAUUUUAAUAAGCAAAUACAUAAAUCCUUUUAUAGCACCAAAGAAACCAAAAACUGGUUGCUCACUCACCUUGUUUUCUGUAAUCUCUAUCCUCUUAGUUUUGUUCCAUCUUUUUCUUAUAUUUUCUUUUUUCUCAUUUAAUUAAUUGUUAAUUCUGAUAACCAAUUGUGUGUAGUACAUUUUCUUGGGCUGGGAGUUGCUGAAAAGUAUAGUUCUUCUUUAACUCAUAUAUUCGUGUACUUGACAGAUACCUUCAGAGAGAAGUUAGUUAUUUAUUAUCAAAGUGCAUAUGGUCCUACUUUUGUCUUUACGUAAGUUUUAAUACAGAAUAGAAUGACUCUAACCAUGUAUCCCAAGUUGUCCAUACUUCUAUUUUGUUCAUUUUAAUUCCAUUUAUUGUCAUGAUUACAGUGCUAUGAGUAUUAAUAAUGUUAUUUCAAGAUGAUGAAUCCAAGAAAAAAUUCUCUUCUCAUAUAUCCUGUUUAUAGAAGUUUUUUUCUGGCUGAGUAACAAAGAAAUUAAUAAGCAGAAUUACAGAAUUGGACUUUCCAUUCUGAUUGUUAAAGAAUUUCAUAAAUCUGUGUUCUUUAAUGACCUAGCACAGGACAAGCAAGCAGCCCACAAGACAAAUCCUCCCACAUUGUCUGGUUUUGUAAAUAAUAUUUUGUUGAAAGAACAAAGUCCGUUUGUUUUUGGCAUUAUCUUUUCACUGCUUUGUUGCUACAACAACAAAGAUUUCUUUGUAGAUUUCAGAAGUCUAAAACACUUGUUUUCUUCCUUUUAGGAAAUAGUUUGCGAAUCCCCUUCUAUAGAAAAAAUAAGUCAAUAACCUAGCAACUUUUCUAGGAACACAUGGUUCACUAAACUCCCUUUGGUCUAGCCUAAUGGAUCCAGAUAGAUACAUGUUUUCAUCAAGCUACUUUUCCUAUAUUUCUUUCAUUUCUUGCUUCUAAUCCACUAUCGCUAUCCCAGAAAUUUCUUAUGGAAAUGCUAUUAAGGAGAUUUUCUUUUUAUUCAGUAUUGUAUUUUCUGGCUUUCAUUAAUUCCUAUUAUCAUAUAUCUAUCAAAACUGAUUUCCUCUUUUCCUAGCAGGGUUCCUGAGGGUAAGUUAUAGUGAGGUUAUCCUCUUUUUAUGAGUUUGACUAAAUUAUAUCUUCUCUCAGAAUGAUCUUAUUCUCUAAAUAAUGUAUUUUUAAAUAUUAUCCUCCCCUUCUUUUCUCCAUUCCCCAUCCCCUACCCCUUCUCCAGCUCUCAGGUAUUCUCUUGCAUUCUUGCUCUUUCUUUGGUGGUAUUGAAGAUUGAAUCCAGAGAUUUGUGAACAAUAGGCAGAUGAUCUACCAAUGAACUAUAUCUCCAAUUCCUUUUAUUACUUUCUAUAAAAUUUGAGACAAAAUUCUAAAUAAGUUGCUCAGGCUGGCCCUGAACACACCCUGUACCUCAGGCUAGGCUAGAAUGUGGGAACUAAUUGUUUAGAUUCCUGAGUAGCUGGGAUUAUAGGCUAUAGCCUCCUUGGUUGAAUUACCUAUUAGCCAAGACUCUGUAAGAUCUUUCUUUUUAGCAAUUUACCCUAUAAAAGUCUUAUUCUGAGGACCAUUCUUUUUUUUUAAUGGAUUUUUUAUUGGAUAUUUUAUUUAUUUACAUUUCAAAUGUUAUCCCUUCCCCCCCCUUCUCCCAUCCCCCCUCCCUUGCUUCUUUGAUGGUGCUCUCCCACCCACUCACUUCCACCUCACUGCCCUGGCAUUCCCCUACACUGGGGCAUGGAGCAUUCACAGGACCAAGGACCUCUGCUCUCAUUGAUGCCAGAUAAGGGCAUCCUCUGCUACAUAUGCUGCUGGAGCCAUGGAAACCCUUUCAGCUCCUUCAUUUUGUCUUUUCUCUAACUCCUGAGGAUGGCAAUCAGUGGUGUUUUGUUGGUAUUUCAUUCUUCUGUUAUUAUUUAAGUAUUUUAACCUGAUACAAAUGUAGUUAUCAAUGUCGAGAGCAAAUAGAAGAAAACAGUCUUAAUUUUAUUUGGAGAUAAUUUUAGUUACAACAGAUAGGUAGUUUCUUUUUCUAGAAAUUAGAGCACAUUGUAAGAAAGAAGCUUUUUUGUCAAUCUAGCAUCUUCCUCCUGAAAUUAUGAAAAAAAUCAUUUUCCAGUCCAUAUUUAAGAAUUGCUAAGAAGAAAAAUGUCACUUUAAUGAGCAUACUGAAUGAAUCAUGAGCUUAACAUUUUAAGAAUUAAAUGUAUAGUGAAGAACAUUAAUCCAAUCAAACAUUUUUAAAGAAAUCAUAGUUUCCUAGGUCUAAAUAUAAACAGAAUAUCUUGAAAAACAAGUUGGAACAUAAAUGUGCUGUCAGUAAGAUUCUGUUUUCUCCUCACUUACACAGUCCUGUUUCUUAAGACCAAGCUGAAUAUUUCACUAUAGCAACAUGAAAUAAAUUAUCCUGAAUAAGCCUGAGAUAGAAAACUUCUAGUAUAUAUGUGACAUAGUAAGUAAAGAUAUCACUAUAUGUGUCAAAGAGAAAAUAUAUUUUGUUGAUUUUUUUUUUUUGCUACAGUCUUGUUUCUAUGAAAAAAUUCUCUUGGCUCAGAACUACUCCUGCCUUUCCUUCUCAUCUUUUCUCCCAUCAAUAAGACACCAAAUGUUGAGAUUUCUUUACUGUACUUGCCAUAUACUCCACAUUACACUUAUUAUUUAUCUUAAAAUUAAAGUUGAGACUAUUAUUUUACAUGGAAAGCCUACCUGAAGUGUAAUACUUGCUAAGUUCCCAUUUCUGGGAGUCAGAAAAACCAUGUCUCCUCUCUUCCAGCCAUACACUUAAAAGAAAGGCAUAUUAGAGACUACAUGCCUUGCUUUUGGCACUCCUUCAUUAUUAUCUCCCUUUGGUUAUUACUCCUUUUCUAGGUUAAGCUCAUCAGUUUUUGCCUUGUUCUUUGUGCUUCUCAAACUUGUGUCCUCUAUACUCUACAACCUCUUCUCCAUUCUUCACUCUGUCUUCCCACCUUCCCCGCACAUUGUUUACAAAUAAUUCUUUUCUGAAAAUGCCAUUCUAUUUUUUACUUUUAUCUUGAUAGCAAUAGCAAUAGCUUAGAAAAAUCAGCCCUCUUAUGUUUGCCUCCUACACUACUUUUACCUGAUCACUUACCUUUAAAACUAAAAGUUCUCUGGCACCAAAACUGUGUCUUAUUUCUAUGCACUCUGUCAGCCAAUAGGUGAAUCUUAAACAUGACUUUUCUUAUACUCAAAACCUUUCUAAGAACACCACAAUGGAUUAGUGUUAAUUUGUCAAAGGAAACACAGUGCUGGAAGGCUUUAUUGUGACACAUGCUGCUUUGUCCGAGUAAAAAGAUGUCACUGCCAAAGGCAGAGUACCCAUUUGUCAGGACGUUGUUCAGGAGCCAAGAGAUCAUCUUGUUUCCAAAGGACAGGGUAAUUCAGCAGGAGGAAGUAGAUAGGAAGUUGGAGAAAAGUUUCACUCAGAUUUUAUCUAUUAUUUAAUUACAUUUGGAAAAUACUACCCCUCUUAUGCCAACAAAUCUGAAACUAAGGCAAGUAUCAAUCUCUUCUUAAAUUCAAGUAUGAAGAACACAACACAGGGGGGUGGAAUCUGGCCGUUUUAAAUGUAUGGUUAUAGAGCACUAUACAAAGAAAUAGGUCAAUUUACAGAGGUCAAAGGAAAUUCACCCUUAAGAUUUCAAAUUUGGCUGCUUCUAGUUGAAUGUGUGGCUUGCUUAAAAACAUGAUAAAAUACCUUUCUGCUUUUUUUAUGUCCUCUACUUUUAAUGCACCUUUAAAUAUUGGUCUCCUUGGGUAACCUUUAAGAAUAAGGUUAUAGAUGUGAGCAUUCUUCCCUUUAAUAAGGCUUCUAGGUACCACCCAGAACAGUAACUUUCAACUAUGACUUCAGUAUAAAAUAAUAUGGGCAAUGUAUAAUAUGCAAAUAUGACCCAUCCCAGAGAUUCUAAUUUGAAGUGUAGACUGUGAACUAUGGUAUUUUCUCAAAUCUAGCCAGAUUAAUGUUACACACAGUGAGAUAGAAUACUAUUGUUUUAAUGCUGUAAUUGACCUUUUUCUAUUAGAAAUUCAACUUCUACUUUAUGAAGGUUACCUGUCCUAAACAAAACCAGUUAUGGCCUAAAGUGCCCAGCUGCCAGGUGCUUGUACUUGGUGAAGUCAGCAGUCCAGGUUCUUAGGGUCUGUAGAUUACAGACCAAGUAACUGGGGGUUCUGUGGUGUACACAUAGAGAGCACUCUGCUGAUCCAUCUCUAGUCUCAUAGUUGUUCCUUAAAAGAUGCGAGCUUUUAAUUAAUUGUUUUAUUUUUUUUACAUUCCACACAUUUGCCCCUUUCCCACUUCCCCUCUAAGAGUUCUUCAUCCCAUCCCAGAUGUAAGUAUCUGCACCUGACUUACUCAGCUGCUGGUAGAGCCUCUCAGAAGAAAGCCAUGCCAGGCUCCCAUCUGCAAGCAUAUCUUGGCAUCAGCAAUAGUGGUGGGAUGGGCCAUUAGUGAUCACUGGAUGGCCAUUCCUUUAUUCUCUGUUCCAUUUUUGUUUUCUUUAACACAGGAACAAUUCUGUAUAAAAAAUUUUAAAUGUAGGUUGGUAACCCCAUCACUGCACAAAAGGCCCUGUCUAUUUAAUGGAUCUCAAGGUCUCUUUAGGUUCCAUAUCUCCACUGUUGGGCAUUUUGGCGGAGGUCAUUUUCAUUGAGUCCUGGGAACUUUAACAUAUUAGGUUUCUGGAAUUUCCUAGAGGUUUCCCCCACAUAGCUACAUAUUUCCAUUCAUUCUCCUGACCCUCUGGGAUUCUGUCCUGUCUCCCCCAUAACUAAUCCUGUCCUCCUUUUCCAUUCCCUGUCCUUUCCCACCUAGGUCCUGUUCUCCCUCUACCUACCAAUGUUAUUUUGUUCCCACUUCUAAGCGGGAUUGAAACUCCUCACUCAGGCCUUCCUUUUCUCUGUGGUUUGUAUCACAGGUAUUCUAUGUAUUUUGGUUAAUGUCCACUUUUCACUGAACACAUACCAUACAUGUCUUUUUGGGUCUGGGUUACCUCACUCAGGAUGAUCUUUUCUAGUUCUAUCCAUUUGCCUGCAAAAACAAAUGUGUUUAUUUUUUAUUUCUAAGAAAAACACUUUUGGAAACAUUUAAUUGAAAUUCAAUAAUGUAGUAAUUCUAUAAUGUAAUGUUUUCCCAAUGAAUUAGUGAAUUUCAAAUUGAUUAAUAAUUGCAUUCAUAUUUAUCCUACUUUGAGCAAUAGGUAUAGAUUUUAAAGUAAUACUAAUUGUUGCUAAUUAGAUAGUUUACAUAAACAUUUUUCUUUACUUCUCAGAAAAUGAUAUAAAAACAAACUCAAAUGAACAUUAUUUUGUUAUCUGAUGUUAAAUAGUGGUGAUCCAGCAUGGAAAUCUGAUCUGGGAUUUUACACUCAUUAACUUGAAGGGCCACAUAUUCUUAAAGGUCUCCAUAUUCUAAAAUUAUGGAAUUUGAUAUUGAUAUUUAAAUGUCACUAGUACAGAUAGUGAUAUUUAAAUUGAUACUAUAAACAAGAGUGGGAAGUCUUGGAGCAGACAUAGAACAAGUAACAAAUAAGAUUAUUGCUUUCAAAAGAUAGGAGUUUCUUUUGUAGCUUCAGGAAAUGGUUGUUUUAUUAUGCAAAUUUGUUUUUUUUAUAGUUUGGAAGAUACCCUGUGUUUCAUGAGAAAGAUAAUCAGUGGCCUCUUUGCAUUAUUCCUUUGAGGCUCUAAUUGAACAAUGUAAAUCUCUUACUAAAAUCACAACAGGUGUCCUAAACUCUGAAACUCUCAUCAGUUCUAAUAAUGCUUCCUUUUAUGCCACAUGUGUUCAUAGGAAGCUUAGGUAUUUAGAACCAUGUGAUGCCUUGGCCAACAUCAGAAAUUCUCUAUUCCAUUCUCCUAUUGGUUAAUAGGCUUCUGAUAAUCAGUUUUUUACAGAGUGUAUUUGCUACCCUUUAUUGAGGAAAUUGGAGUUGGAAGUUGAGGUGAAAAUAUCCUUAGUUUAUAGCUAGUAUGUGCAAUUUUUAUAAUUAAAUGAUAGAAUUCUAUUAGUAAAGGCAUGAUAGAUAUGUGCUUAUAAAUGUCCAUAGAUUCAUAUUUUUUCACAGUAGGCCACUGGGAUUCGUCAGUAGUCUGGAGAUGUCAUGCGUCCACUUUUGUCUAUGUAAUGCAUUGUUUUACUGAAGGUUUUUAUUGAACUAUGCAUACAUGUGAUAUGCAUAUAGUGACAUGCAACUAUAGCUUUCAGGAGUUGUUGGAACUCAGCACAUUGGCUUUUCAGGAUUGCAUAGACUCCAUGCCCUUUAAGUAGUGCUUUUCUGGCAGAGAUUUUGUCACCACAGAUGAUCACUGAAUUGUUUCUAUGCUGUGGUAACAGAGAAGCUGUCUUUGAAUAUAAUAGGACAAACUGUGAAAGAGUAGUGGACCAUAGACCUCUACUGAAUUCCCCCUAGAUAAAAAAUAUGAAGAGGGCUAUAUCAUUUGCAGUACAGAUUUGCUUAUGUGUGUUGUUGUAAAAUUGUAUAUAUGGUUUUCUUUUACCCUACUAGGUCCAGCACUGCAGUUUCCCAAGAUAUCUGAUCUUAGUCAGCAAAGCCUCUCACCUGCUUUGCUCCAUCCCAUAUCACACUGCCAAAAGCCUCUCUCUGACCCUGGCAACAAUCUCUCUACCCAUCCAGUUCCCAAGGCAGGCUGUCACCAUGGCAGAAAUAUACAUCCAUGUCAGCUCAGUGUCACGGCCUCCACAUACUCUCUUAAACUUAAAUCUGCACAUGGAAGAACCCACAGCACAAUAACCUUUAAUCCAAUUGAUAAGAUAUAAUUGCCCACCUAAACAUAGAAAGCCCUUUACAUAUUCAUCCCUCAAGAGCAUUCAUAACAACCUGUAAAGUUACAGCUGCUCCUCCGUCCCUCCUCUGUGUUUCUGGCAUGGAAACCUGUGAUGGGAACUAGAUAGGUAGAGGGAUUGCUGCCAGGCUCAGAGAGAGGUCUUCAGCAGUGUGAUAUGGGAUGGAGCAGAGUGGGUGAGACUUUGCUGAAUAAGACUGUAAUAUCUAGCAGACAUCUUGGGGUACUUCAGUGCUGGAUCUAGAGCGGGUAAAAGAAAGCCCAUUUUUUAUAAUUUUACAACAGAUGGCAAGCCAGCCUGAUGGGCAGGAAUCUACUAGUAAUCCUAAGAGUUGAGAGAAAGUUUUAUUUUCUAAGAGGAAAAUAAAUUUGAAUAAUCACCUGAUCACCCAAGCCUGGGAACCUUAAACAAACAAAAGUCAGUCUCCUGUUGUGUGAUAAGUAAUGGCAGCUCUGAGAGUUAGAGAUUAAAAGCUGGUUUUUAAAGAAAGUUGUUCAAAAAGUCUCUCAUGAUACUCAUAUUCCUUCUAACAUAGGCUCCACAGGAAUUUUGGGUUGAAAUCUUAAUGACAGGUUUUAUUAAAAGGUGCUUUAAGUUUGUUUUUAAGAAAAGAGUACAGAGAUUACCCGAAUCACAUGGAGAUUUUCACCCAGGCUUUGGAAUUUAGGGAGAAUUAGUCACUGACUCCAAGAAGUAUUGUGAUAUUUACAAGGUUAUUUAUUAAGGUCAAAUAAAAAUCUGUGGCCCUGGGUAGAGAGCUUAACAGAUGGAUAUAUUUUGGGCUAAAGUCCUCAUUUGCUAAGUUACCUAUUGAUAUUGGAAUUAAUAGAAGGUACUUACAAGUUAUUAAGUUUAAUUGGGCUAAAGCCCUAGUUUGAUAAAUUACUUAUUGAUAUUGGAAUUGAUAGAAAGUGUUUAGUUUGUAUAUGAAUUACCUCAAUAAAGGCCAUAUGCCUCAUGAUGCUGGCUAGUGAGGGUUUGUGGUUAUUUUUUAUAUUUACCAUAACAGGAAGCUCAGAUUCUCUUAACUGGUCUUCACAGGAAUUUUGGAUUAAUUUCCUGAUAGUACAGAUUACAAAAGCCUAUCAGGCUCAUUGUUUAGCUUACUUCCUUUUUCAAAAUUGUUUAAUCUUCAUAAUGGGUAUGACUUUGAGUUUUACGGUUAUAUUAUUAGUCCGGAAGAGAGUGCAAGACACAAGGUUUUCUGGUUACAGACUAAGGAACACACAGUAUUUUGGGAGAAAGAUUUUGUCUUUGUGUUUUUAAAAAGUGUGAUUAAGCUCUGUAAACCUCACAGAGUCAUACUGAUCAGAUUUGAGAGAGGGAGACGGUCUGAAAAGCUAGAUACAGGAGAAUCAAACAAAAAGAUACCUCAAUUCUAAAUUUUUGUCUUGAGAGUUGUAUUUUGCAGAGUGUGCCUACUUGGGUUCCUGGUCACAAGGACUUUCAGCUGGGUCCAGUGAGGACACAUGAUGUUACAGUGUUUGAUUCAUACUUCCUAUCCCCUACCCACAAGGAUAUCUCAACACCCAUGUACAGAUUGAAGAAGUUAUAGAAGUGUUGUCACCCCAAUUCCCUGGAAUUUGGGAAGGCUGAAAGUGGUUAUUCUAAGGUUGUUUUUAAUGAGGAAUUUAGAAAUGGUUGUAAUUUAACAGGGAGGAAUUAGCUAGAAUGAGUUGUGCAGUCAUGAUCUCAAUUGGUAAGCAAGCUAAAAUCAUAUCUUUGCUUUGGUAUAGAAUAUGUUUGUUAAAAAACAGUAAAAGUACAGGGUUUAGAGCCAAUCAUUCUACUGAUGCCAUUACAAAUUUCUGAGUUGAUUACACAUGUGAGUUAAGGGCCAAAUAGCAAAUUCAUGGCUCUGAGUUUGUGAGAGUACUUUCAAGAUAAUAUUUAAGAUAUAAAGACAACAUUCCAGAUUACCUUAUGUAGAUAAUUUUUUUCAAAAACGUCAGAAGUCCAAAAAAUACGAAAUUUAUUUAUCGUUUGUUGAGACAUAUCUGCUCCUAAUAGUUCCCCUUUGACGGAUUUAAUGAAGAAAUUAAACAUCUCUAACUCCAGGUGAGGCAAGGACAAAACUGCCUGUUUCAUCUACAGAUGAAUACUGUCCAGAAUAGGACAAAUUAUGCAGAAUAGUUGACUGAGAAGACAGGGUGAUCAGCCCUUCAAAAAUCUGCAAUUCAAAAGUCUGUCAGUUGAUUUUGGGCGAGAAGACUGAAGACUUGAGCUCACAUGUUACUAACAGAGGACUGUGCUAGUGGAGAUUUGUCUCUACAACCUCUGAGUUCUGAAAGCCAUGUUAGGCUUCCUAUAUGUAUAGAUAUUUAGUUAUUCUCAGAUAUCUGAGGGGUCAAAGACUGAUUAGAGUUUCAUAGCCUAUCAGGCUGUUUAACUCUGAAAACACAUAUUUUAUUAGAUAGUUAACAGAAAGUAAACAAGCUAGCCAGGAUAUAACAUAGAUUUUAAGUCUUUCCUAAGCUGGAAUAUAUAACUAAAUGUUCUGAUUAACUGACAAAGUAUUGGAUUGUGUUAGAUAUAUUUUAUGCUGUUAGUUACAAAAUGAUAAUAGUUGUACUUAGCUUAUAUUUGAGAGAAAAGGUUUUUUUAGUUAGACAAAAAGUGAGAAAUGAGGAAUGAUGUCAUCAUACAGGUGCGGUAGGUACAGGACAGAAGGAACCUUCAGUCUCUAAUUGAAACCUUGCCUCCAUAUCUCCUCUUAUGAAUAUUUUUGUUCCCUUUAGACCUUCAUGAGGUCUGUGGAUUAUAUCUUGGGUAAUUUGAGCUUUUGGGCUAAUAUCCACUUAUCGGUGAGUGCAUGCCGUGUGUGUGUUUCUCUGACUGUGUUACUUCGCUCAGGAUGAUAUUUUCUAGUUUGAUCCAUUUGACUAUGAUUUCAUGAAGUCAUUGCUUUUCAUUGCUGAGUAGUAUUCCACUGUUUAGAUGUGUUGUUGAAAUGUGGGAUGAUGUCACAGGAGAGACAGGUAGGUAGAAUGAGGCCUGUCAGUGGACAAGAAGGAAGGAUGUGUAGGAGAAAAGAUUGGGGGAAAUGGGAGGAGACUGGAACUGAAGGGAAAGGAAGGGACCAGAAGAGAGGGAGGAGUGUGGAGAGAACACUGGAGGUGACCUUAAGAUUCCACUCUUCUGUAUUUACAGGUUGUUAUGAAUGUUCUUGAGGGAUGGAUGUGUAUAGGGAUUUGUAUAUUUAGGUGGGGAAUUAUAUCUUAUAAAUUGGAUCAAACGUUAUUGUGUUGUGUGUUCCUCAUGUGCAUUUUUAAGGGAAAGAGUUUGCUGCUGCUAUUCUAGGCUGCCAUGGAGACAUUUUGCUGAAUGAGGUCAUAUGUCUAGCAGUUAUCUUGGGUCAUUGCCUUGCUGGAUCUAGUCGGAGAUAAAAGGUAGCAUUUUGUUUUUUAUAUAAUUACAAAACCAGAGAUGUACCACAUUUUCUGUAUCUGUUCCUCUGUCGAAGGGCAUCUGGGUUCUUUCCAGCUCCUGCCCAUUAUAAAUAAGGCUGCUAUGAAUAUAGUGGAGCAAUUGCCUAUGAUUUCAUGAAGUCAUUGUUUUUUAUAGCUGAGUAGUAUUCCACUGUGUAGAUGCCUUGUUGAAAUGUGGGAUGAUGUCACAGGUGAGGCAGGUACAAGAUAGAAUGAGGCCUCUCAUUGGACGAGAAGGAAGGAUGUGCAGGAGGAAAGUCUGAGGGAAGGGGAGGAGACUGGAUCGGAAGAGAACAGAAGAGAAGGAGGAGUGUGGAGAAGCCACAUGGCAAGAAUACUGGAGGUGACCUUAGGAUUCCACUCUCUGCAUUUACAGGUUUUUGUGAAUGUUCCUGAGGGAUGGAUGACUCUACGACUUUGUAUGUUUAGGCGGGGAAUUAUAUCUCAUAAAUUGAAUCAAAGGUUAUUGUGUUGUGUGAUCCCUCAUGUACAUUUUUAAAGGUAAGAGAGUGUGCGGCCGCUAUUCUAGGUCGCCGUGGGUGGCUUUGCUGAAUGAGGUCUCAUGUAGCAGUUAUCUUUGGACAUUCGCUUGCUGGAUCUAGUCGGAGAUAAAAGGUAGCAUUUUGUUUUUUUAUAUUUUUACAAAACCAGGAAUUGUGCCACAUUUUCUGUAUCCAGGCCUCUGUCAAAGUGCAUCUGGGUUCUUUCCAGCUCCUGCCCGUUAUAAAUAAGGCUGCAAUGAACAUAGUGGAGCAAUUACCUAUGAUUUCUUGAAGUCAUGGUUUUUUACAGCUGAAUAGUACUCCACAGUGUAGAUGUGCUGUAGAAAUGUGGGAUGAUGUCACUGGUGAGGCAGGUACAAGAUAGAAUGAGGCCUCUCAUUGGAGGAGAAGGAAGGAUGUGUGGGAGGAAUAUCUGAAGGAAGGGGAGGAGACUGGAAGGGAAGGGAAAGGAAGGGAACGGAAGAGAAGGAGGAGUGUGGAGAAGCCACAUGGCGAGAACACUGAAGGUGACCUUAGGAUUCCACUCUCUGCUUUUACAGGUUGUUAUGAAUGUUCCUGGGGAUGGAUGACUAGAGGGCCUUUACGUUUGGGUGGGAAAUUAUAACGUAUAAAUCGAAUCAAAGGUUAUUGUGUUCUGUGUUCGCUCAUGUGCAUUUUUAAAGGUAAGAGAGUUUGCUGCUACUAUUCUAGGCCGCCAUGGAGAAGCUUUGCUAAAUGAGGUCAGAUAUCUAGCAGUCAUUCAUCUUGUAGCAUUUCCUUGCUGGAUUUAGUCGGAGAGAAAAGGUAGAGUUUUGUUUUUUAUAUUUUUACAAAAGCAGAGAUGUACCACAUAUUCUGUAUCCAUGCCUCUGUCAAAGGGCAUCUGGGUUCUUUCCAGCUCCUGCCCGUGAUAAAUAAGGCUGCUAUGAACAUAGUGGAGCAAUUGCCUAUGAUUUCAUGAAGUCAUUGUUUUUUAUAGCUGAGUAAUAUUCCACCGUGUAGAUGUGUUGCAGAAAUGUGGGAUGAUGUCUCAGGUGAGGCAGGUACAAGAUAGAAUUAGGCUUGACUUUGUAUGAGAAGAAAGGAUGUGCUGGAGAAAAGUUUGAGGGACGAAGAGGAGACUGGAAUGGAAGGAAAAGGAAGAGAGGGAGGAAUGUAGAGAAGCCAUGCCGAGAGAACACUGAAGGUGACUUAGGAUUCCACUCUUCUGCUCUUACAGGUUGUCACGAAUGCUCUUGAGGGACGGGUUUGUGUAGUGCUUUUUUUAUUUUUAGUUUGGGAAUUAUAUCUCAUAAAUUGUAUCAAUGGUUAUUUUGCUGUGUGUUCCCUCACCUGCAUUUUUCAGUGUUAGGCACUGUGGGGCUGCAAUUCUGGGCUGCCCUGCAGAGGCUUUGCUCAAUGAGGUAAAAGAUGUCGCAGUUAUCUUGGGACAUUCCCUUGCUGGAUUCAGUCUGAGAGAAAAGGUAGCAUUUUGUUUUUUAUAUUUUUACAAUACCAGAGUUACUACCACAUGUUGAGUAUCCAUUCCUCUGUGGAUGGUCUUCUGGGUUCUUUCUAGCUCUUGCCCGUUAUAAAUAAGGCUGCUAUGCAUAUAGUGGAGCAAUUACCUAUGAUUUCUUGAAGUUAUGUUUUUUUAGGGCUGAAUAGUACUCCACAGUGUAGAUGUGCUGUAGAAAUGUGGGAUGAUGUCUCAGGUGAGGCCGGUACAAGAUAGAAUGAGGCCUCUCAAUAGAGGAGAAGGAAGGAUGUGCAGGAGGAAAGUCUGAAGGAAGGGGACAGAAGAGAAGGAGGAGUGUGGAUAAGCCAGGCUGAGAGAAAAGUGAAGCUCCCAUGGAUAUUCCAAUCUGGGCAUUUACAGGCUGUCAUGAAUGUCCUUGACAGAUCGAUUUGUAUAGGGCUUUGUAUGUUUAUGUGGGGAAUUAUAUCUCAUAAAUUGUAUCAAAGGUUAUUGUAUUGUGUGUUCCCUCAUGUGCAUUUUUUAAGGGUUAGAGAGUGUACAGCUCCUAUUCAAGGCCGCCAUGGAGACGCUUUGCUGAAUUGUUGAGUGAGGUAACUUAUGUAGCCAUUAUCCCGUUCCAUUGCCUUCGUGGAUCUAUUCAGAGAGAAAAAGUAGUGUUUUUAUACUUUUACAAAACCAGGAAUUGUGCCACAUUUUCUGUAUCCAGGCCUCUGUCAAAGUGCAUCUGGGUUCUUUCCAGCUCCUGCCCGUUAUAAAUAAGGCUGCAAUGAACAUAGUGGAGCAAUUACCUAUGAUUUCUUGAAGUCAUGGUUUUUUACAGCUGAAUAGUACUCCACAGUGUAGAUGUGCUGUAGAAAUGUGGGAUGAUGUCACUGGUGAGGCAGGUACAAGAUAGAAUGAGGCCUCUCAUUGGAGGAGAAGGAAGGAUGUGUGGGAGGAAUAUCUGAAGGAAGGGGAGGAGACUGGAAGGGAAGGGAAAGGAAGGGAACGGAAGAGAAGGAGGAGUGUGGAGAAGCCACAUGGCGAGAACACUGAAGGUGACCUUAGGAUUCCACUCUCUGCUUUUACAGGUUGUUAUGAAUGUUCCUGGGGAUGGAUGACUAGAGGGCCUUUACGUUUGGGUGGGAAAUUAUAUCGUAUAAAUUGAAUCAAAGUUCAUUGUGUUCUGUGUUCGCUCAUGUGCAUUUAUAAGGUAAGACAGUUUGCUGCUACUAUUCUUGGCCGCCAUGGAGAAGCUUUGCUAAAUGAGGUCAGAUAUCUAGCAGUCAUUCAUCUUGUAGCAUUUCCUUGCUGGAUUUAGUCGGACAGAAAAAGUAGCAUUUUGUUUUUUAUAUUUUUACAGUACCAGAGCUAUUACCACAUGUUGAGUAUCCAUUCCUCUGUCAAAGGGCGUCUGGGUUCUUUCUAGCUCUUGCCCGUUAUAAAUAAGGCUGCUAUGCAUAUAGUGGAGCAAUUACCUAUGAUUUCUUGAAGUCAUGUUUUUUUAGGGCUGAAUAGUACUCCACAGUGUAGAUAUGUUGCAGAAAUGUGGGAUGAUGUCUCAGGUGAGGCAGGUACAAGAUAGAAUUAGGCUUGACUUUGUAUGAGAAGAAAGGAUGUGCUGGAGAAAAGUUUGAGGGACGGGGAGGAGACUGGAAUGGAAGGAAAAGGAAGAGAGGGAGGAAUGUAGAGAAGCCAUGCGGAGAGAACAUGAAGGUGACUUAGGAUUCCACUCUGGGCAUUUAUUUACAGGUUGUUAUGAAUGUUCUUGAGGGAUGGAUGUGUAUAGGGCUUUGUAUGUUUAUGUGGGGAAUUAUAUCUUAUAAAUUGUAUUAAUGGUUAUUUUGUUAUGUGUUCCCUCAUGUACAGAUUUAAGAGUAAGAGAGUGCAGAGGCUAGUCUAGGCCACCACAGAGUUGGGAUGUGUGUUUCUGGAAACGUGCCUUGGGAACUAGAUAGGUAGAGAGAUUGCUGCCAGGCUCAGAGAGAGGCCUUCAGCAGUGUGAUAUGGGAUGGAGCUGAGCGGGUGAGACACUUUGCUGAAUGAGAUUGAGAUGCUGCCAGGCUCAGAGAGAGGCCUUCAGCAGUGUGAUAUGGGAUGGAGCUGAGCGGGUGAGACACUUUGCUGAAUGAGACUGAGAUAUCUAGCAGUUAAAUUGGGGCACUAUGGUGCCGGGUCUAGAGGGGAAUGGUAAAAGUCCAUUUUUUUUAUAAUUUUACAACAACACAUGUGGACCACAAAAUGAGUAAAAAUAUUGAAAUGGAAACUGUUCACACUAUGAGUCAGUAUAUUCAUGAGACAAGAAACAGAACCACUUUUGAGAGGCAAAAACAGCUAAGAACUUUAAAAAUUGCCAGAAAGUUAAUCAGUCAAUCAAAUAGAUAUUACCAUUCUGAAUAGUAAAUUCAAUAUACAAUAUGCUGAUAUUUAUACUAAGUGGCCAAAAAGUACACAGAAAUGAUAUAUGAAUAAUGUAUUUCACAGCAUUACUUUUUUGCACAAAUCCUAUGAAAGUAGACCAGUUUUAAAUUCUUGAAUGAACUUUAUUUAAUUUUUACUAAUGGCAUAAUAUCUUCGACAUAUGUCAAAAAUCUUGGACAUACAUGGUAGCUCUGCUGUACCAAGAAAACAGCUAUUGUCUUUUAGUAGUAGCAGCUCCAUUUCUUCCUUCUUGCCCUGGGAAGGUCCUUCAUUUUCCUGCCACAAUUUCUCAUGAAGCAGAUUGUGCUCACUUCAUAUCUCUCAGUUCCUUUUCAACAGAAAUAGAGAACACUCUGAAGCAGUUCAAAGAAGCAGGGCUAAGUAUCUGGGGAUUUGAAAUACUUAUUUACCAGCCAGUUUUAGGCCUUGGCCUCUAUACCAGCGUCUGCACCCUUUUAAAUUCAAUGACAUUGUACCCAGCAAAAAUCUUCUGGAUAUAGGUUUUUGUUUAACAUGGAAUACUUCCAGAAGACAAAAUGUAUAUUUAUUUUUUUGUUUCCUCCCUCAGAAAUUAUUUUUCCCAUAUUUUUUAAUCUAUAUUUUCAACUUUUUGAUUAACUAAAGAUGUAUACCAUCUUCAAGAUUAGAGGUUUAAUUUUAUAUUCUAAGGAAUAAAUUUUAAUACUUGUUACUCAUAUCAGUGUAGCCACAGGAGUAAGAUCUAUACUUUUGUAUUUCAAUGUUACAUGUGUAUCACUUCAGAUUUUCUGUUGUGUAAAACAAGUAGGGAAAAGAAAUAAAAAUUUGUUGUUAGAAUGCUAUCUAUGUACAGGCCACAUAAAUGUUCAUUUUUAACCAAGUAUUUAUUUGUUCUGGCUUAUGGGAUUAAUACAAAAGUAAAUGAAAACCUUUCCUAAUAACUCAUGAUAGACUUUCCUGGAUAAAUUGUAAAUGUGUAGGUGUCCCUUCCAUAUGGUUUUAUAGUCAGGAAUGCUUAUUACAUUUCAUGAAUUGCAAAGCUGAAGAAGUCAAGCAUGGCAUCUCAUGUGUACUUAUUAAGAUAAGCACUGUAAUAUGGGAAUUUAGAUCAUUAGUGAUUCAAAACAAUCCAGACUCAUAUGUUAAUGUUAAGUAUUUCUGAGUAUAGGAUUAGGGAAUUUCUUUUUAUUAUUUGUCUUUUAUAAAUUUUUAUAAUAAGCAAGCAAUGUUAAAAUAAUUUUCUUUUUUAUUUUCCUCAUCUUAAAUUUUUUUGCUGGGUAUUUUUUUAUUUACAUUUCAAAUGUUACUCCCUUUUCCUGUUUCUUCCUCAUCCAUCCCACUUUCCUGCUGCCCCCCCCCCCACAUUCUCCUGCACAGGGGAGAACCUUGGGAGAACCAAAGGGCUUCUCCUCCCAUUUAUGCCCAACAAAGCCAUCCUCUGCUUCAUAUGCAACUUGAGCCAUGGAUCAAUCCAUGUAUACUCUUUGGGUAGUGGUUUAGUCCCUGGGAGCUGUGGUUGGUUGGCAUUGUUGUUCUUACCUGGUUUUGGUUGUUCUUUCAGUCUCUCUGCUCUUAACUUUGCCUCCAUAUCCCCUCCUAUGAAUAUUUUUGUUCCCCGUUUUAAGAAGGAGUGAAGCAUCCACACUUCGGUCAUCCUUCUUGAGUUUCAUGAGGUCUGUGGAUUAUAUCUUGGGUAAUUUGAGCUUUUGGGCUAAUAUCCACUUAUCAGUGAGUACAUGCCAUGUGUGUUUUUCUCUGACUGUGUUACCUCACUCAGCAUGAUAUUUUCUAGUUCAGUCCAUUUGCCCAUGAUUUCAUGAAGUCAUUAUUUUUUAUAGCUGAGUAGUAUUCCACUGUGUAGAUGUGUUGUAGAAAUGUGGGAUAAUGUCUCAGGUGAGGCAGGUACAAGAUAGAAUGAGGCCUCUCAUUAGACAAGAAGGAAGGAUGUGCAGGAGGAAAGUCUGAAGGAAGGGGAGGAGACUGGAAGGGAAGGGAAAGGAAGGGAACAGAAGAUAAGAAAGAGUGUGGAGAAGCCAGGCAGACAGACUGUGAAGCUGACAUGGAUAUUUCAAUCUGGGCAUUUACAGGCUGUCAUGAAUGUCCUUGACAGAUGGAUUUGUAUAAAGCUUUGUAUGUUUAUGUGGGGAAUUAUGCCUCAUAAAUUAUAUCAAAGGUUAUUGUGUUGUGUUUUCCCUCAUGUUCAUUUUUAAGGGUUAGAGAGUGUACAGCUCCUAUUCAAGGCCACCUGGAGACGCUUUGCUGAAUUGCUGAAUGAGGUAACUUAUGUAGCCGCUAUCCUGUUCCAUUGCCUUCCUGGAUCUAUUUGGAGAUAAAAGGUAGCAUUUUGUUUUUUUAUAUUUUUAUAAAACCAGAGCUACUAUACAUGUAUCCAUUCCUCUGUGGAUGGGCGUCUGGGUUCUUUCCAGCUCCUGCCCAUUAUAAAUAAGGCUGCUAUCAACACAAUGGAGCAAUUGCCUAUGAUUUCAUGAAGUCAUUGUUUUUUAUAGCUGAGUAGUAUUCCACUGUGUAGAUGUGUUGUUGAAAUGUGGGUUACUGUCAAAGGUACAAGACAGAAUGAGGUCUGUCAUUGGAUGAGAAGGAAGGAUGUGCAGAAGAAAAGUUUGAGGGAAGGGGAGGAGACUGGAAUGGAAGGUAAAGGUAGGGACGUGAAGAGAGGAAGGAGUGUAUAGAAGCUAUACUGAGAGAACACUGGAGGUGACCUUAAGAUUAUACUCUGUAUUUAUAAGUUGUUAUGAAUGUUCUUGAGGGAUGGAUGUGUAUAGGGAUUUGUAUGUUUAGGUGGGGAAUUAUAUCUUGUAAAUAGGAUCAAAGGUUAUUUUGUUGUGUGUUCCCUCAUGUGCAUUUUUAAGGGUAAGAGAGUGUGCUGCUGCUAUUCUAGGCUGCCAUGGAGAUACUUUUCUGAAUGAGGUCAUAUAUCUUGCGGUUAUCUUUGGUCAUUGUAGUGCUGGAUCUAGUCGGAGAUAAAAGGUAGCAUAUUGUUUUUUAUAUUACAAAACCAUAGAAGUACCACAUUUUCUGUAUCUAUUCCUUUGUCAAAGGUCAUCUUGUUUCUUUCUAGCACCUGCCUAUUAUAAAUAAGGCUGUUAUGAACAUAGUGGAACAUGUGUCCUUGCUGAAUUUUUUUUUUAGCAUUCAAUCAGAUGUAUGGACUGAUAGGAAUUUUGGAAGUGACAUAAGUAAUGGGUUAGAAAAGAGCAAAAGGGGGAAAGCUCAUCCAUUGUUCUUCUUGUCAUUCUUUUGGUAUUAGCUUACAAAGGAGUAAAUUUUAACAUAAUAUCAUUUAUGUGGACUUUAUGUGGAAUUUUUUUCCUGUCCUUUGCCACAACUCCUGCUUGUGCUAGUCCUUCUUGGAAGUCCCUUUCCUCUUCCUUGUCAUACUCUUUCUUUUAUUUUGAAAGUUCCCUUAAGACCUUUUUAACUGCAAUGAUCCCAUUCUAUGUCUCAUGUUCUGAUUCUUGAUUGGUUUAUUUCUUUGGUUAAUAGAGACAAAUUUCUCAUGGGCUCUCUGAAAAGAGACAUUGUAAGUGAUAACAUUUAACCCAUAAUAGGAUGCAAUAAGACAGUACGCAGUGCCUAAACUAUAUAUCAUUUGAUAGUAAAAUAAUCUUUUCCCAUAUAAUAUUUUUAACUUAUCUUUGGUUAAUGUCUGUUGUAGACUAGCUCUCUAUGUAAUCAGAUUUUUUUUGAAAUUUUAGUACUUUGCAAAUACUGAAUUAAAUAAUCCUGAAUAAAUUUGUAAAAGAUAACAAUGAGUACCCUAAGGAUCACAAUUCUAAGAGAUACUCCCAGUUGUCCCUGACUAUAAUUUCCGAAGAAAUUCUCUGGAGAUAAGAAUAAUCAUUAUUAUAGUUAUCAAUGACUAACCUUUAAAAAUGUCUUGGUUUGUGGCUGUAUUUCAAAUAUUAAUAUUAAAAAGUCUCUGGAUUAACACUUCCACUGCUUUAUGACUGUUUUCAUACAAAAGUCAGAAUUAAAAAUUCAAUUUUGGUUUUAAUAUAUUUGUUAAUUUUUAUUUUAUGAAAAUACAUUUUUCUUGUCUUUUUAUCAAUUCACUUAUUUGUGAUUCAUCAGUAAAUAUUUAUUUGCUUUCUAGGUGACAGGCAUAUUAUAAAUAUUGUGAAAUAUAAAGAUGACUCAAGGUAUAGUCCCUGAACUCAGGUGGCUCAUAGAGUAAGUGUCCUUCCUUAUUCCCCUUACUGUCUUUCUAACAGUCCUGCUGUCUUAGAAAACUCUUUUGUUUUCAUCUUUCACCUUUCCCCAAACCUUAGCAUUUCAUUUGAACUAUGAUUACAUAAAGUUUUCAUAACCUGGAGAUACCUUUUUCAGUUGCUUAAUAUUUAGAAUGAGUGGCACAAAUAGCAUGUGUAUAGUGCUCCACAUCUUCUUGUCCCAACUUUUUAAUGUUGUUGCUGUGGCAACCAGCUGCAGGCCUCAGGGCAACUGACUUCAACUAUACCAUGUACCUCUCCUUUCUGUCAAGUGACUUGUUGCCCAGUAAAAAUUGUAUUUCAUAUAGGAUACUAUUCUUUUAAACAUAUGUGCACCAAAUACUGUAAGGUAUUCACAUGUGUUAAUUAAAUUUGUGGUUUGUGUUUAGUUCAUAUUUAAUUUGGUGCCUUCUAUUUUUUACAUUUAUUAAAUUUUGGCAACUUUACUUGUAAAGCUGUCUCUUUACAUUAAUAUUCAAAAGAAGCAACUUCUGACCAUUACAGGAAAUGGCCCAUUUGACAGACUCAAUGCUACUGUCACUUGAGUGGAUUCUUUUUACUGUGAUACUGGAGAUCAAACCUAAGAAGUCAUCCAUGACAGGCAAGCACUUAGCAAUUCAGCUACAUACCUAGUCAGGUGGGUAAUUUUGUGAAAAUCCUAUAUAACUUCUUAGAAGAAUCCAAUCUCACACAGGACUAAGCCCCUUUUUUCAUGACUAUGACUUACAUUGAGAAAGUGUAACCUAACUUUUUUUCUUUCAGAGUGACUUUGAGAAUGGCAUUUAGCUUUUUAUGCUUAUUUGCCACAUUCAUCAUUUGUGUUAUACAAGCAAAUAGCAUUCCCCACGUGUGAGGCCUCAUAGUUCUAGAUUCCUUUUUGUGUUUCCCUUUCUUAGAAACCAGAUGCUUUUGAUUCCACAGUAUUUUCAUAUAGCAUCCUCUUAAAACAGACCAUAAACCUUUGUCUCCAACAAUGGAUUUACCCACCUCUUAUUUUCGAGACAGGGUUUCUCUUUGUGUUAUCUCUUGCUGUCCUUGAACAAAUUUAAUAGACCAGGCUGACCAUGAACUAGAGAUCCAUCUGGCUCUAGUUCCAAGUGCUGUGAUUAAAGUCAUGGAUCACCACCUGGCCUAUAUUUAUACACAUUUACCCUGAUGGAAAAGACAAAAGCUAGACCUUCAUUUUUGGAAGGUUUAAGAUGCAUAUAUGGUGAUGGUUUUCUGGCUGAAGAUUCUGAAAGAGGCAUAGUGCAUCAUGUGGCAAGGCCAGGACAUGUACAUGUUUCUUUUAGACUCUUUCCAUCUAAAAAUAACAUUAAUUUUCAAUCAUGGUAUUCUUCCACGAUGACCUUAAUCAAUUUCAGUCACUUCUGAAAGGCAUACUUUUAAAACAUUGUAGUCUGAUCAGGUCAUGAAUCCUUGUGGGAAACACUUAAGUCCAGAGCCAAGGUUUAGGACAUUAUAUCUAAUAAUUUUUCACUUUACUAUCAUCUAUAUAGCUUCCCCAUGUGUAGUUAUUUUGGUCACUGAAAUUGUUGGCACAUGUUUUGCUGUUGUAUUUUGAUCAAUCUCUAAAAAGUUCUCUUGUUUCAUUUGUUCUCAUCAGUUUUUUUUUUUAAUCAUUAAAGUGAUGAAACCUAUUUUUUUGUUGUUGUUGUUACAGGAUUACCUUAGUCUGGUACCUAUGAAUGUAGAAAUUUCUAAUGAGGUUAUAGAGGAAUCACUUAAAAAGGUAAUUCCUUAUUGGGGUAAAAGUCUCUUUUUCCAGGAUUCUCAUUUUUUGCUACUUAUGAAUAGCAGUUACUGAUAUUAAAGAGAAAUUAUGUAAAAACAGAGUUUCUUAUUGGAGUAAAAACUAUAUGUUGGUCCUAUCAAUAGAUACCAUGUUAUUGAAGUUAUAUACUAUAAGUUUUUGUAUGUUUUGAAUUAGAAGCUUGGUAUGUACCAUAGUGUGGCCUACAAAUUACUGUGUAAUUGAGAAAAUUCUUGAGCUUGUGCUGCUUCCGCCUUAGUAUACUGAAUGUUGGGAUUGCAGUUCUGUACCAUGUGUUGCUGCUGUGAAUGAGAAAUUAAUAUUCAUGAAGUAGGUUUUGAUCUUACCUAAUAACUAUGAUAAACUGAGUGGUGAAUUCCUCUUUGCUUAGCCUACUAGUUCACCAGAACCAACGAAUUACUCAGGAUUAGCCAGAAUAUCAGAUUGAUUAAAUAAUUCAGUCCUGAUUUUCCAUUUCUAUUAAACAAUAUAUGUAAUAGGUAGAAAUAGGAAUUCUGCUUUGUUUUUAUGUAAAUAAUGCAGCAGUCAGCAUGAUCUUCUCUAGUUAGAAAUGGAGACACAAAAUACUCAUGUCUAAGGUUCCCCCAUUGAUGCCAAAUUUCUCCUCAUUAACUAUUUCAACUUUGUAACGUAUAUGAUUUUCAAAUCAGUGCUACAUAUAUAGUUCAGUACAUUUUCAGGUCUAAAAGAGAGUAAACACUAUUUAGUCUUGAGAACUGAAACUAUUUGGGAAAAUGAAUUAUGAGAAAUGUCUUCCAAAGUAGACUUUUUUUCAGUAUCUAUAAAUUAUAAAUUUGGAAGGCCAUUUUUACAUCUUGAAAAUAGUAGGACUUGGGCUUUUACAAUUAUGGUUCUAAUUCAAGGUAUUCAACUGCAGAAGAGGAAUUGAUUGUUAAUCUAAAGAAGAAAAUAUGUGGCUUUGUUUUCAGGCACUGUUUUGGACAAAUCAACCUUACUAAAACAAUGUAAUAAACAUUGUUCUUUUGGUUCAAAAAUACAUUGAAUUGUGUAUGUUCAGUAUGUGUUACUUUUACUUAAAGAUGGUUAUUAGUUCAAGUCUGUAACAAGGAAACAUAAAGAGGAAGAAAAGGAAGAUCAACAAACUGAAAAAUAAAUAAAUCAUUGUUUACCUUUUUAAGAAAACUCAGUUCAAAAUCUCUAUAGGUAGCAAUUUUGCCUCAUAUUUCCUUGCCAAGUUUCAAAGUGUUCCUAAUAGUUCUAACAUCUAUGAGAUUUGGGAGUAUUAAAGUAAAAUAAUGAUUGCUCUUGACUAUUUCUGAAGCAACUUCUUGAUUGGAAAGUUUUUUUUUUCAGUGUCAUUGCAUAUGCUGAGUAUAUUUUCUAAUAAUGACAUGUAUCUUCAUCUGUAGGAAAAUGGUUUUCAGAUAUAAAUUACAGUUGUCAUUUUUAGCUGAUCUCUAGUAAUUACAAAUAUUUUUCUUUCAGUUUCUUUAAGAGCAUUCCUAGGCUGAAUACUUCAUUAAAGGUACACAGAAGCUGUUGUGCCUAAUGUGCAUUCCACUGCAGUGAAAAGAUACAUAAUUCAAUAGUAUAAUGGGAUAAGAGGCAUAAAGUGAGUUCUUGUAAAAACAAACUUAAAUUUCCAUAUGUUUUCUCUGGAUGGAAUUACCUAGAAUGUAUUAUUCUUCAAAUGAGUGUGUGAAAAUAUCUAUAAAUAUUAGUGGUAAGAGGGACCUACUUGAACAUAGUUGUCCAAGGUUUUAUUUUAGUUCAGUCAUUUAGACAUGCAAUAACUACACAACUGAGGUAAACUAGUCAAUAUCAGGAACAAAGCAAAAACAUGUACAAGUAUGUUGGACCUCCUAGGUUACGUGUCUAAAGAAGGCCUCAGGCAUCUGAAAACUAUUUUCAGAUCCAAAAUUUAAGGACUAUGGGUAAACUCUGACACUUGUCAAGGACCAAUAGUGCAAAAGAACAUUUCCUAGGCAUAAGCAUGGCAUGAACAAUUAAAUUAAAUUGGCAAAAAUCUAGUAAUAUUUAUGUUUAAAAGAUCUUCAUUUUUAUAAAACCUUUUAUAUACAGUUUUUUGUUUUUUAUGGAGUGUCAAGCAUAAAAAAAUAUCUGAAUGUCUUAGAUGCCUUAAUGGCUUAAGCGUGAAGUCUAUUUUGCAAAACUUACUUCUUAUCGUUAAUGUGACCAUUGCUAUAAAUCUUAAUAUUCAGUCACUAUUUUAGUAAUAAUAAAAGACCAUGUUCACUUUUUACUUUCUGGAUAUGAUAUUGUUACUUCUUAUGCAGAUUGAAACAUUGAUGUGCUGUUUGUUUUUGCUUAUUUACAGCAGGAUGAUAUUUUAGGUCGUGGGAUUUAAAUUUGAGAUUGACAUCUUAUCCAUCCCAGCAGAUUGUAUAGUAUGUACUUAAAAUUUUAGAAAUAGUAAUAGGAAGCUUCUAGCUAAGUUCCAAUUUGCUUUAGCUAUACAAUGAUCCUUGAACCUUGGUGGGAAGGGUGCGAUAUAUAGAUACUCAAUUUAGGGCUGUGUUCACUGCAAUAUCUUACUGUCUGCACAUUAGUAAAUAGAUGUUCUUCAUGUUGUUAUUGUCCAGUGGAAGAAGUAGCUUCUUUGAUGUGAGGUAAAAUACUGGGAGUCAGUUUAAUACUAUCCCCAUGGAGCCUAAUAAUUUUAGUAGGUUCUGCUCUAUGGACUAUGAUGUUUCAAAAUAAUUGUGAUGAAUAUUUUUAAUGUAUAUGAUCACUUUAAUUGCUUUUAGAUUCCAAAUUUUAUUCCUCUCCUGGUCCAGCCUCCAACUGUUCCACAUUCCACAUCUCCCCCACCUCAACUACCCCACCAGACCUCUAAACUUCCUGGGGCCUCCAAUGUCUUGAGGGUUAGGUAUAUCUUCUCUGACUGAGACUAGACCCGGGAGUCAUCUACUGUAUACAUGUUGGAGGACUCAUCUCAGCUGGUGUAUGCUACCUGGUUGAUGGUCCAGUGUGUGAGAGAUCUUAGGAGUCCAGGUUGAGACUGCUGGUUCUCCUACAGGGUUGCCCUCCUUCUCAGCUUUCUCCAGCUUUUCCCUAAUUCAGCCACAGGGGUCAGCAGCUUCUGUUCAUUGUUUUGGUGCACAUAUAUGCAUCUGACUCCUUCAGCUGUUUGUUGGGUCUUUUGGCAGGCAGUCAUGACACAUCCCAUUUUGUGAGUGCCCCAUAGCCUCAGUAAUGGUGUCAGGUUUUGGGGCCUCCCAUUGUGCUGGAUCCUACUUUGGGCCUGUCACUGGACCAUCUUUUCCAUUUCCAUCCCUGCAUUUCUUUCAGACAGGAAGAAUUAUAUGGGUCAGAGUUUUGACUGUGGGUAGCAAGCCAGACCCAAAAGGACCUGCACUGUUUGUUCUAAAGUGGAUAUUUGCCCAAAAAAGUACAUAAUACCCAAGAUAUAGUCCACAGAACUCAAAAAGGUCAACAAGCUGAAGGGCCCAAGUGAGGAGGGUGCACUUGGGAGGGAGAAGAAGGAAGGCAAUCACAAGGGGAAUUGGAGGGAGCAUUGGAUAUUGGAUAGGGGAAAAGGACUGAAGCCGAGGGCCAGCUUAAAGAACAGAAACACGAUUUUGGGAGGAAGGAGUAGGGGAGGACCCUCCAGAAUGUACCAGAGACCUAGGAAGUGAGCGACAAGAAAGACUCAGUGGAGAGUGUAUUGGAUGAAAUGUCCUAUAGUGGCAAGAGGGAACUUGUUGAGCCCACCUCCAGCCGAAAGACAGGGUAUCAAGUGAGGGGUUGCCUUAAUUCUUUAAAGUUCUUUUCAGUUUAGAAAUAGACUAAACUUGGUGCUCCGCAGUUUGAAAGCAUAUUUAAUGUAUCAGUCUUUGUUUACUAUGGUUAACAUUGCCUAACAUUUUAAUUUCAAAUUGUUUAAUGGUAUCUCCACUUUUUUGCAUGACUCAGUUAAAGAAUUUCACUUUCUGUGUCAAAAAUAAGUGAGUUAAAGGACCAUGUCUGAUAACUCUGCCACCAUGAAUGUAGGUAAAGUUUACUUCCAACUUCUUCUAGAUUUCCUCCUGCGUCAAUGGAAACAAGAUCUUUGUGAUCAUUUGAGUUUAAAGGAAAACAUUUUACUAGUGGUAAUUAUAGAUAGUGUAAAGAGUUGUAGGUAAUAUAUAAGAUUAUCGCAAACCAUUUUGUAGCUUCUAUGGAGAAAAUAUUUAUUUUAGGUAAUUGUUUUCCUUUUUUAUUUUUGCAUUGAGGAUGUUAACACAACUUCCUGUGUUUCUGAAGCAUUCUUCUGGCUCCUCUGUGUGAGUAUGAGUAGUUAUAAAGAUAAUGGUUAGUUCUGAGUUUGAGGAAAUCUACAUAAGGGCUCCAUGUGUACUGCCAUUGUGUAAGUAAACAAUUUAGAAGUAUAGACACUGUUUGCUAUUGUUUCUGCUUGUCUGCUGCUUACAACCAACUUAUAACCCAAGACAAAGUACUAAAGAUGUAUUAGUGGAUUUCUGUUCUAUAGAGUGUCUUUGUAAGACCUAUUUUUUCCUGAUUCUAAGUUAAAUAAUAUAAGGAUAGUGACAUACUUAAAUAGUGGAAGAACUUCUUUAAUAUGGACUGUUUUUCAUAUGUUCACCCUCAAAAUUCCAUAGACACAUAAGGUUAAGAAAACAAACAUAUUUCUUCUCUAUAUAAAUUACGAUCUUUAAUUUCAAGAAGAAAGGAAAUGGUUGUUUCUCAUAUUCAAGUCAAGAUUUGAUUAUAGGUGAAAUGCUAUAUGAAUUUUAAUUUCUCAUAGAAGUGCGAGAUAGGAUAGGCUUAUGAAUAGAACAGGUUGAAGAUUCUUUUUAUCUGACUUUACUGAAUAGAUCUGAGCUUUAAAGUUAGAGCACAAGAAUUACAUCUCAGAAUGUAAAGGAAGAGAAAUUUCACCUUAGAGGUCUAAGGAAAUGCUAAGCUGAUAGGAGGAAAAGGAAAGCCCUUUUUGGUCUAAGAUUACUUCACUUUUGUAAUUCACUGAUAUGAGUACAAAUUUCUGUUUGCUCUCAAGUUAUGCCAAAGAAAGUUUUUAAUACUUCUCUUCAUGGGAUUUGGGAUGUAGUGGUAUGAUGGGAGAGAUUUUUUAUGCUAAUGUCAUCUUUUUUUAUCUUUAUUAACUUGAGUAUUUCUUAUUGUCAUUUCGAUUGUUUUUCCCCUUCCCAGUUUCCUGGACAACAUCUCCCUCCCCUUAUAUAUGGGCUUCCCCUCCCCCCAUUACCACCCUUCCCCCAACAAUCUCUUUCACUAGGUGUUCAGUCUUGGCAGGACCAAGGGCUUCCCCUUCCACUGGUGCUCUUACUAGGCUAUUCACUGCUACCUGUGAGUUGGAGCCCAGGGUCAGUCCAUGUAUUAGUGUUUGGGUAGUGGCUUAGUCCCUGGAAGCUCUGGUUGGUUCGUAUUGUUGUUCAUGUGAGGUCUCGAGCCCCUUCAAGCUCUUCCAGUCCUUUCUCUGCUUCCUUCAACCUGGCUCCCGUUCUCAGUUCAGUGGUUUCCUGGACUAUGUAUUUGCUGAAUUCUGGGUGUGUCUCUCAGGCGAGAACUACAUCCGUUCCUGUUGGUAUUCACUUCUUUGCUUCAUCCAUCUUAUCUACUAUGGUGGCUGUAUAUGUAUGGGCCACAAGUGGGGCAGGCUCUGAAUGGGUGUUCCUUCUGCUUCUGUUCUAAACUUUGCCUCCCUAUUCCCUCCCACCAGUAUUCUUGUUCCCCUUUUAAAGAAGGAGUGAGGUAUUCGCAUUUUGGUCAUCCUUCUUGAGUUUCAUGUGUUCUGUGCAUCUAGGGUAAUUCAAGCAUUUGGGCUAAUAGCCACUUAUCAAUGAGUGCAUACCAUGUGUGUUUUUCUGUCAUUGGAUUACCUCACUCAGGAUGAUAGUUUCCAGUUCCAUCCAUUUCCCUAUAAAGUUCAUAAAGUCAUUGUUUUUGAUAGCUGAGUAAUAUUCCAUUGUGUAGAUGUACCACAUUUUCUGUAUCCAUUCCUCUGUUGAAGGGCAUCUGGGUUCUUUCCAGCUUCUGGCUAUUAUAAAUAAGGCUGCGAUUAACAUAGUGGAGCACGUGUCUUUUUUAUAUGUUGGGGCAUCUUUUGGGUAUAUGCCCAAGAGAGGUAUAGCUGGAACCUCAGGUAGUUCAGUGUCCAAUUUUCUGAGGAACCUCCAGACUGAUUUCCAGAAUGGUUGUACCAGUGUGCAAUCCCACCAGCAAUGGAGGAGUGUUCCUCUUUCUCCACAUGCUCGACAGCAUUUGCUGUCACCUGAGUUUUUGAUCUUAGCCAUACUGACUGAUAUGAGGUGAAAUCUCAGGGUUGUUUUGAUUUGCAUUUCCCUUAGGACUGAAGAUGGUGAACAUUUCAUUAGGUGUUUCUCAGCCAUUCUGCAUUCCUCAGCUGUGAAUUCUUUGUUUAGUUCUGAACCCCAUUUUUUAAUAGGGUUAUUUGUCUCCCUACCAUAUAUCUUCGUGAGUUCUUUGUAUAUUUUGGUUAUAAGCCCUCUAUCUGUUGUAGCAUUGGUAAAGAUCUUUUCCCAAUCUGUUGGUUGCCGUUUUGUCCUAACCACAGUGUCCUUUGCCUUACAGAAGCUUUGCAGUUUUAUGAGAUCCCAUUUGUCGAUUCUUGAUCUUAGAGCAUAAGCCAUUGGUGUUUUGUUCAGGAAGUUUUCUCCAGUGCCCAUUUGUUUGAGAUGCUUCCCACUUUUUCUUCUAGUAGUUUGAGUGUAUCUGGUUUGAUGUUGAGGUCCUUGAUCCACUUGGACUUAAGCUUCGUACAGGGUGAUAAGCAUGGAUCCAUCUGCAUUCUUCUACAUGCUGACCUCCAGUUGAACCAGCACCAUUUGCUGAAAAUGCUAUCUUUUUUCCAUUGGAUGGUUUUGGCUCCUUUGUCAAAAAUCAAAUGACCAUAGGUGUGUGGGUUCAUUUCUGGGUCUUCAAUUCUAUUCCAUUGGUCUGUCUGUCUCUGUACCAAUACCAUGCAGUUUUUAUCACUAUUGCUCUGUAAUACUGCUUGAGUUCAGGGAUAGUGAUUCCCCCUGAAGUCCUUUUAUUUUUGAGGAUAGCUUUAGCUAUCCUAGGUUUUUUUGUUAUUCCAGAUGAAUUUGCAAAUUGUUCUGUCUAACUCUUUGAAGAAUUGGAUUGGUAUUUUGAUGGGGAUUGCAUUGAAUCUGUAGAUUGCUUUUGGUAAAAUGGCCAUUUUUACUAUGGCAAUCCUGCCAAUCCAUGAGCAUGGGAGAUCUUUCCAUCUUCUGAGGUCUUCUUCAAUUUCUUUCUUCAGAGUCUUGAAGUUCUUACUGUUCUUUUACAUGCUUGGUUAAAGUAACACCGAGUUAUUUUGUAUUAUUUGGGACUAUUAUAAAGGGUGUCAUUUCCCUAAUUUCUUUUUCGGCUUGUUUCUCUUUUGUGUAGAGGAGGGAUACUGAUUUAUUUUACUUAAUUUUAUAUACAGCCACUUUGCUGAAGGCGUUUAUCAUGUUUAGUAGUUCUCUGGUGGAACUUUUGCGAUCACUUAAAUAUACUAUCACAUCAUCUUCAAAUAGUGGUACUUUCCAAUCUGUAUUCCCUUUAUCUCCUUUUGUUGUCUGAUUGCUCUGGCUAGAACUUCAAGAACUAUAUUGAAUAAGUAGGGAGAGAAUGGGCAGACUUGUCUAGUCCCUGAUUUUAGUGGGAUUGCUUCAAGUUUCUCUCCAUUUAGUUUAAUGUUAGCAACUGGUUUGCUGUAUAUGGCUUUUACUAUGUUCAGGUAUGGGCCUUGAAUUCCUAUUCUUUCCAUGACUUUUAUCAUGAAGGGGUGUUGGAUUUUGUCAAAUGCUUUCUCAGCAUCUAAUGAAAUGAUCAUGUGGUUUUGUUCUUUUAGUUUGUUUAUAUAAUGGAUCACGUUGAUGGUUUUCCGUAUAUUAAACCAUCCCUGCAUCCCUGGGAUGAAGCCUACUUGAUCAUGGUGGAUGAUUGUUUUGAUGUGCUCUUGGAAUCGGUUUGCCAGAAUUUUUUUGAGUAUUUUUGCGUCAGUAUUCAUAAGGGAAAUUGGUCUGAAGUUCUCUUUCUUUGUUGGGUCUUUGGGUGGUUUAGGUAUAAGUAAUUGUGGCAUCAUAUAAGGAAUUCGGUAAUGCUCCAUCUGUUUCGAUUUUGUGGAAUAGUUUGGAUGGUAUUGGUAUGAGGUCUUCUAUGGAGGUCUGAUAGAAUUCUGGACUGAACUCAUCUGGACCUGGGAUCUUUUUGGAUGGGAGCCUUUUAAUAACUACUUUUAUUUCUUUAGGAGUUUCAGAGUUGUUUAAAUGGUUUAUCUAUUCCUGAUUUAACUUUGGUACCUGGUAACUGUCUAGGAAAUUGUCUAUUUCCUCCAGAUUUUCAAGAUUUUUUUGAAUAUAGGCUUUUGUAGUAGGAUCUGAUGACUUUUUGAAUUUACUCUGAUUGUGUAGUUAUAUCUCCCUUUUCAUUUCUGAUUUUGUUAAUUUGGACGCACUCUCUGUGUCCUCUCGUUAGUCUGGAUAAGGGUUUAUCUAUGUUGUUUUUUUCUCAACGAACCAACUUUUGGUUCUGUUGAUUCUUUGUAUGGUCCUCUCUGUUUCUACUUGGUUGAUUUCAGCUCUGAGUUUGAUUAUUUCUUGCCUUCUUCUCCUGGGUGUAUUUGCUUCUUUUUGUUCUAGAGCUUUUAGGUGUGGUGUCAAGCUGCUGGUGCAUGCUCUCUCCUGUUUCUUUCUGCACGCACUCAGAGCUAUGACUUUUCCUCUUAGUACAGCUUUCAGUAAGUUUGUGUAUGUUCUACCUUCAUUUUCAUUAAAUUCUAAGAAGUCUUUAAUUUCUUUCUUUAUUUCUUCCUUGACCAGGUUAUCAUUGAGUAGAGCAUUGUUCAACUUCCAUGUAUAUGUGGGCGUUCUUCCCUUAUUGAUGUUGAAGACCAGCUUUAUUCGUGGUGGUCUGAUAGGAUGCAUGGGAUUAUUUCUAUCUUUCUGUACCUGUUGAGGCCUGUUGUAUGACUAAUUAUAUGGUCAAUUUUAGAGAAAGUACCAUGAGGUGGUGCGAAGAAUGUAUAUCCUUUUGUUUUAGAAUAGAAUGUUCUAUAAAUAUCUGUUAAGUCCAUUUGGUUCAUGACUUCUCUUAGUCUGUCUAUAUCUCUGUUUAAUUUCUGUUUCCAUGAUCUGUCCAUUGAUGAGAGUGGGGUGUUGAAAUCUCCUACUAUCAUUGUGUGAGGUGCAGUGUGUGCUUUGAGCUUUAGUAAGGUUUCUUUUAUGUAUGUAGGUGCCCUUGUAUUUGGAGCAUAGGUAUUUAUGACUGAGAGUUCAUUUUGGUGUAUUUUUCCUUUGUUGAAUAUGAAGUGUUCUUCCUUAUCUUUUUUGAUGACUUUUAGUUGAAAAUUGAUUUUAUUUGAUAUUAGAAUGGCUACUCCAGCUUGCUUCUUCAGACCAUUUGCUUGGGAAUUUGUUUUCCAGCCUUUCUCUCUGGAGUAGUUUCUGUUUUUGUUUCUGAGGUGUGUUUCCUGUAGGCAGCAGAAUGCAGGGUCCUCAUUGCAUAUCCAGUUUGUUAAUCUAUGUCUUUUUUUUUUUGGGGGGGGGAGUUGAGACCAUUGAUGUUGAGAGAUAUUUAGGAGUAGUGAUUGUUGUUUCCUGUUAUAUUCGUAUUAGGAUGUGAGAUUGUGUUGUGUGCUUUUCCUUUCUUUGUUUUGUUGCCAAUAUGAUUAGUUUUUUCUAGGGUGUAGCUUGUCUCCUUAUGUUGGACUUUGCCACUCAUCCUUUGUAGGGCUAGAAUUGUAGAAAGAUCUUGUGUAAAUUUGGUUUCGUCAUGGAAUAUCUUGGUUUUUCCAUCUGUGUUAGUUGAGAGUUUUGCUGGAUGCAGUAACCUGUGCUGGCAUUUGUGUUCUUUUAGGGUCUGUAUGACAUCUGUCCACGAUCUUCUGGCUUUCAUAGUCUCUGGUGAGAAGUCUGCUGUGAUUCUGAUAGGUCUGCCUUUAUAUGUUACUUGACCUUUUUUUUUCCCUUACUGCUUUUAAUAUUCUUUCUUGGUUUUGUGCAUUUGCUGUUUUGACUAUUAUGUGACAGGAGGAGUUUGUUUUCUGGUCCAAUCUAUUUGGAGUUCUGUAGGCUUCUUGUAUGUUUAUGGGAAUCUCUUUCUUUUGUUUAGGGAAAUUUUCUUCUAUGAUUUUGUUGAAGAUAUUUACUGAUCUUUUAGCUCGAAAUCUUCACUCUCUUCUAUAACUAUUAUCCUUAGGUUUGAUCUUCUCAUUGAGUCCUGGCUGAGGUAAGACCUCCAUAUUAAGUAUAUUGUAUGCAAUUUCCUACUCAAAUGUUAGGUACUUGUGUAACUGAGACAGUUCUUGGCUGUUUUUCCUGAGAAAUUGGUAUAAAUUUUGUGCCUUUUGAAGACAUAGUCUUUACAGGAGUGACUUGAUAACCAUCUGUAUAGAUCUUCUCUAAACUAUCACAUUAGUAUAGUCUUAACAUUAAUACCUAAGAUUAGCAAAGAAAAUACCGACCAUAUGAUACAAAGGUGAAUAAAAGAAAUGAGGCAAGUUUAAGUCUCUAUUUAUAGUAAUUUAAUGACAUAUAACUUUGAAAGCAUGUUAAUUCUAACAAUCUACAUACUCAAGUUAAAUUCUUUCAGCAUUUUGAUAUCAGAGUACUCUAGGAAGAUUGUUGAAGUAUUCAGAAGAUGAUAGGAGUCAGAAAAGGUAGUACAAAGUUAAUUCAUGAGCACUUCAACCAUCCACAAAGUAAACACUGAGUAGGAUUUACACUGAGAGAAAUUUCUGGUAAAGGAUUAUGGAUUAGUUAAUCUAUAGGACAAAGGAGGAAGUAGGUCAGACUGCACAUAUCCUUUUCAUUGUAAUAAUAACCAAAUUUGGCAGAAAGAAAUGCUACAUCUGCCUCCAUUCCCUACAAAGCAUGUGGUGUGCAGUGCUCUAUUCAGAAUGUUGUGUGGAAUGUAAUAUGUAUGUAUAAGGUGUCAUCUAUAUGAGUUGUGUUUUCAGAUUCUGUUUAAGUAGGUUGGGUUUACCCUUCAAAAAACCCGACCCUCUGCUAGCCCUGAUGCAGUUUUCUAACUUUCCCCUAUGUCUUAUCCUAUGUGUUCUUUUGUAUAGCUUAUCUUUCCUCAUUACUUAUAUUUACCUUGUUCUCAUUUUUAGAUAUUUUUAGGCAUAAUCACAUCAAUCACACAAACACACACUUUUUCAUCACAUGCAAGGGCCAGUAUAUGAGACAGAACAAAUGGUUUUGUCUGAGUUAUGACAUGAAUAACUACAUGGAGCACCCUAUCAGUUUUUGUGCUAGGUGGCUGAAACACAUUCUCUGUAGAGUGUAAAGACAUGCUGAAUCCAUUUCAUUUAACAUCUGAGUGUGGCAGAUUUCCAGCUCUACAUCCUAGAGAAGUUUUCUCUUGUGUUAUGUAGGUCUUUAUUUACAUGGUUAUGAAUUCUUUAUAAUUUUCACUUCAACAACUCACAUAGGUUAUUUAACAUAAGACGAGAUUAAUGUUCACUCUAAGAGAAAAAAAGACCAGCUUAAUCAUAUGUUUAUCCUAUAGUUUCUGAAAAAGCUCAGGUAAACAGUAUGUAGCGCAGAGUACACAGUUAUAAAUUCAAUGUAAAUAUCAUAUUUGGCACUCAACAGGACUUCUGAAAAAUGAUUUGGGAAUUCUUGUAUUCUGUCCUUUGAGAAAUGGCAAGAUCUGCAGGGGACAUUAGAGUCAGCAGAGUCUAUGUUCAGUGCUCUACUUUAGUUGGGCGGCAGCCAAUGAACUGCAUCUAACUGGUUUCUCUCUGUAUAUAAAGAUGCCAAAAUUACAAUAUAUAUGGUGACAUGGAUAGUGAGGGUUGACAUACGGAUAGUGAGGGUUAUAUAUUAAAACCACUUGUGGACAUGUUCUUUAGUACCAAAACUGUCCUGCCAAACAUUUAUUUUAUCAGACAUAAUUUAUAGUUUCUUGGUUUGGCUUGGUAUUGAUACAGAAUUUUUUAAUGUAGCUUUGGCUGGCUUGGACUCACUUUGGAGACCCAACUAGUAUCAAAUUCACAGAGAUCUGCCUCCCUCUGUCUUCAGAGUGCUAGGCUUAAAGGUGUGUGGCAGCAGUGCUCAGUUUAUUGGGCACUCUUAAGGUUACUUUCAUGGAUAAUUCUCAAUGUAGAUUCAUCAAAUUUUGAGAAGGUGAAGGUGAAAUUGUUGUUUAGCCUAUAAAUAUAUUGUAAUAUCAAAAAUAGUAGCAAACAUGUUGUUCUCUUAGUACUUAUAAUCAUUUAGCUAAAAAGAAUACAAUUGAUAGAAUCUUCUUUAAUAAAAUAUAUGGUAAAGAAUACUGAAUUUGUUAUUUUGCAUGACUAUUGAUUGAAUCAACUCAUGGUAGUAGUAAUUUUUCUUUGUCAUGUAUUAAAAUCUAGAGGAGCUGAUGGUGAAUGAAGUUUUAGAAAAUUUUAAAGCGGCUAUUUAUCUGUGUGUUAUCUCGCCUAUGGCCCAGCUUUAAACACGAGUCUCAUAUUGUGUUGCUUAGUUUUUGUGAUCUCAGGGUGGUAGUGUCAGUACACUUGAAGUUUCCCUUGAAUUGGUUUCUCGUUAAAUAGGCAGUUUUGAUGUCUCUAAGAUAGACAUUCUUUACUUAUGAUGUCCAUUUUUUCCAACUCAUGAGAAUUAAAGAGAACAUGAUCAUGAAGAUUUAAGUUCUGGCUACAAGAAAAAGGCUAGUGAGAGCUUAUACCAUAAGUUUAGUAAUCAGUCGUUAAGAUUAAUAGAGACUAGGAAAAAGAAUUAAAGAUGUAAUGCAGUGGAGAUUAGUAGCUUGGAAAAGACCUAUAUUCAACAUGCUUUAUAAUUUCUGAUUUGAACAAUUACAGGUAUUUUAUUACUACAUAUAUAGAUCAUCUCAAAGAUGGUUGAAAAGUCAUGCUCAAAGAUAAAAUGUUUGUGAUGAGAGAUGAAAAAUAAUGGUAGUAAAACCAGAAGUACCCUAUACAUGCGUUCAAAGAACUCAGAAAUGUCUUCCCACAUACUUGUAAAUCAGAUAUCCAUUAAGUAACUUCAGGGGUAUGUUUUUAUUAUAAAAAUCAGGCAAUUAAAGAAAAACAUUAGGUUACAAUAUAAUACUUGGAAGUAUGGAAUUUCACCCCUUUGUCCUGUAAACAUUCACCUAAGGAGAAUGCAAGUUAAAUUUGUUAUGAGAAAUACCAUUGUUUAGAAACACUGGGUGGGGUGAUACUUAUUUUCUUUACAGUAAAUAUUAUGAGGAUAUAGUUGGUAUUAUUUUCUGGGAAUGUGACAAAGUCUCUUAAGACAUGAUGGACGCAUUGGCAAUAAAAAACAGUUCUCUAUGAUAAUGAUGACUUAAAUCUAUUUUUUUAAUUUUAUUGGAUGCAGUUAUUUACAUUUAAAAUGUUACACCAUUUCCUGGUUUCCUCCCCAUCCACCAACCCUUCCUCCUCCCUCCUGCAACAUAUUGCUACACGGGGGGUCCAACCUUGGGCUUCUCUCAUUGGCACCCAGCAAGGCCAUCCACUGCUACAUAUGUAGCUGAAGCCAUGGUUCGAUCCAUGUAUGCUCUUGCGGUAGUGGUUAGUCCCUGAGAGCUUAGUUGGUUGGCAUUAUUUUUCUCACCUGGUUUUGGCUCUUACUUCAGUCUCUGCUCGAAAAAUUGCCUGCAUAUCCCUUCCAAUGAAUAUUUUUGUUCCCGGUUUUAAGAAGGAGUGAAGCAUCCCCAUUUUGAUCAUCCUUCCUGAGCUUCCUGAGGUUCGAGAAUUAUGGCUUGGAUAUUUCGAACUUUUGGGAUAAUACCAACUUAUCAGUUAGUGCAUGCCAUGUGUGUUUCUCUCACACUGUAAAACCUCACUCAGUAUGAUAUUUUCUAGUUCAAUCCAUUUGCUAAUGAUUUCAUGAAAUCAUUGUUUCUUAUAGCUGAGUAGUAUUCCCCUCUGUAGAUGUGUUGUUGAAAUGUGGGAUGAUGUCUCAGGUGAGGCAGUUACAAAAAAGAAUGAGGCCUCUCAUUGGAUGAGAAGGAAGGAUGUGCAGGAGGAAAGUCUGAAGGAAGGAGAGGACACUAGACUGGAAGAGAAAGGAAGGGAACUGAAGAGAAGGAGGAGUGUGGAGAAGCCAGGCAGAGAGACUGAAUAUUCCAAUCUGGGCAUUUACAGGCUGUCAUGAAUGUCCUUGACAGAUGGAUUUAUAUAAAACUUUGUAUGUUUAUGUGGGGAAUUAUAUCUCACAAAUUGUAUCAAAGGUUACUGUGUUGUUUGUUCCCUCAUGUGCAUUUUUAAGGGUUAGAGAGUGUACAGCUCCUAUUCAAGGCCGCCAUGGAGAUGCUUUGCUGAAUUGCUGAGUGAGGUAACUUAUGUAGCCAUUAUCCUGUUCCAUUGCCUUCGUGGAUCUAUUCAGAGAGAAAAGGUAGUGUUUUACUUUUUAUAUUUUUACAAAACAAGUGCUGUGCCAUGUUUUCUGAAUCCAUGCCUCUGUCAAAGGGCAUCUGAGUUCUUUCUAGCUCCUGCCUCUUAUAAAUAAGGCUGCAAUGAACAUAGUGGAGCAAUUACCUAUGAUUUCUUGAAGUCAUGGUUUUUUACAGCUGAAUAGUACUCCACAGUGUAGAUGUGCUGUAGAAAUGUGGGAUGAUGUCACUGGUGAGGCAGGUACAAGAUAGAAUGAGGCCUCUCAUUGGAGGAGAAGGAAGGAUGUGUGGGAGGAAUGUCUGAAGGAAGGGGAGGAGACUGGAAGGGAAGGGAACGGAAGAGAAGGAGGAGUGUGGAGAAGCCACAUGGCGAGAACACUGAAGGUGACCUUAGGAUUCCACUCUCUGCUUUUACAGGUUGUUAUGAAUGUUCCUGGGGAUGGAUGACUAGAGGGCCUUUACGUUUGGGUAGGAAAUAAUAUCGUAUACAUUGAAUCAAAGGUUACUGUGUUCUGUAUUCGCUCAUGUGCAUUUUUAAAGGUAAGAGAGUUUGCUGCUACUAUACUAGGCCGCCAUGAAGAAGCUUUGCUAAAUGAGGUCAGAUAUCUAGCAGUCAACUUGUAGCAUUUCCUUACUGGAUUUAGUCGGAGAGAAAAGGUAGCAUUUUGUUUUUUUAUAUUUUUGCAAUACCAGAGCUACUACCACAUGUUGAGUAUCCAUUCCUCUGUGGAUGGUCUUCUGGGUUCUUUCUAGCUCUUGCCCGUUAUAAAUAAGGCCACAAUGAACAGAGUGGAGCAAUUACCUAUGAUUUCUUGAAGUCAUGAUUUUUUAGGGCUGAAUAGUACUCCACAGUGUAGAUAUGUUGCAGAAAUGUGGGAUGAUGUCUCAGAUGAGGCAGGUACAAGAUAGAAUUAGGCUUGACUUUGUAUGAGAAGAAAGGAUGUGCUGGAGAAAAGUUUGAGGGACGGGGAGGAGACUGGAAUGGAAGGAAAAGGAAGAGAGGGAGGAAUGUAGAGAAGCCAUGCCGAGAGAACACUGAAGGUGACUUAGGAUUCCACUCUCUGCUUUUACAGGUUGUCAUGAAUGCUCUUGAGGGACGGGUUUGUGUAGUGCUUUUUUAUUUUUAGUUUGGGAAUUAUAUCUCAUAAAUUGUAUCAAUGGUUAUUUUGCUGUGUGUUCCCUCACCUGCAUUUUUCAGUGUUAGGCACUGUGGGGCUGCAAUUCUGGGCCGCCCUGCAGAGGCUUUGCUCAAUGAGGUAAAAGAUGUCGCAGUUAUCUUGGGACAUUCCCUUGCUGGAUUCAGUUUGAGAGAAAAGGUAGCAUUUUGUUUUUUAUAUUUUUACAAUACCAGAGUUACUACCACAUGUUGAGUAUCCAUUCCUCUGUGGAUGGUCUUCUGGGUUCUUUCUAGAUCUUGCCCGUUAUAAAUAAGGCUGCUAUGCAUAUAGUGGAGCAAUUACCUAUGAUUUCUUGAAGACAUGUUUUUUAGGGCUGAAUAGUACUCCACAGUGUGGAUAUGCUGUAGAAAUGUGGGAUGAUGUCACUGGUGAGGCAGGUACAAGAUAGAAUGAGGCCUCUCAUUGGAGGAGAAGGAAGGAUGUGUGGGAGGAAUGUCUGAAGGAAGGGGAGGAGACUGGAAGGGAAGGGAAAGGAAGGGAACGGAAGAGAAGGAGGAGUGUGGAGAAGCCACAUGGCGAGAACACUGAAGGUGACCUUAGGAUUCCACUCUCUGCUUUUACAGGUUGUUAUGAAUGUUCCUGGGAAUUGAUGACUAGAGGGCCUUUGCCUUUGGGUGGGAAAUUAUAUCCUAUAAAUUGAAUGAAAGGUUAUUGUGUUCUGUGUUCGCUCAUGUGCAUUUUUAAAGGUAAGAGAGUUUGCUUCUACUAUUCUUGGCCGCCAUGGAGAAGGUUUGCUAAAUGAGGUCAGAUAUCUAGCAGUCAUUCAUCUUGUAGCAUUUCCUUGCUGGAUUUAGUCGGAGAAAAAAGGUAGCAUUUUGUUUUUUAUAUUUUUACAGUACCAGAGCUACUACCACAUGUUGAGUAUCCAUUCCUCUGUGGAUGGUCUUCUGGGUUCUUUCUAGCUCUUGCCCAUUAUAAAUAAGGCUGCUAUGCACAUAGAGAGCAAUUAUGUAUGAUUUUUUGAAGUCAUGGUUUUUUAUAGCUGAGUAGUAUUCCACAGUGUAGAUGUGCUGUAGAAAUAUGGGAUGAUGUCUCAGGUGAGGCCGGUACAAGAUAGAAUGAGGCCUCUCAAUAGAGGAGAAGGAAGGAUGUGCAGGAGGAAAGUCUGAAGGAAGGGGACAGAAGAGAAGGAGGAGUGUGGAUAAGCCAGGCUGAGAGAAAAGUGAGGCUCCCAUGGAUAUUCCAAUCUGGGCAUUUACAGGCUGUCAUGAAUGUCCUUGACAGAUCGAUUUGUAUAGGGCUUUGUAUGUUUAUGUGGGGAAUUAUAUCUCAUAAAUUGUAUCAAAGGUUAUUGUAUUGUGUGUUCCCUCAUGUGCAUUUUUUAAGGGUUAGAGAGUGUACAGCUCCUAUUCAAGGCCGCCAUGGAGACGCUUUGCUGAAUUGUUGAGUGAGGUAACUUAUGUAGCCAUUAUCCUGUUCCAUUGCCUUCGUGGAUCUAUUCAGAGAGAAAAAAGUAGUGUUUUUAUAUUUUUACAAAACCAGGAAUUGUGCCACAUUUUCUGUAUCCAGGCCUCUGUCAAAGUGCAUCUGGGUUCUUUCCAGGACCUGCAGUUUAUAAAUAAGGCUGCAAUGAACAUAGUGGAGCAAUUACCUAUGAUUUCUUGAAGUCAUGGUUUUUUACAGCUGAAUAGUACUCCACAGUGAAGAUGUGCUGCAGAAAUGUGGGAUGAUGUCACUGGUGAGGCAGGUACAAGAUAGAAUGAGGCCUCUCAUUGGAGGAGAAGGAAGGAUGUGUGGGAGGAAUGUCUGAAGGAAGGGGAGGAGACUGGAAGGGAAGGGAAAGGAAGAGAAGGAGGAGUGUGGAGAAGCCACAUGGCGAGAACACUGAAGGUGACCUUAGGAUUCCACUCUCUGCUUUUACAGGUUGUUAUGAAUGUUCCUGGGAAUUGAUGACUAGAGGGCCUUUGCGUUUGGGUGGGAAAUUAUAUCCUAUAAAUUGAAUGAAAGGUUAUUGUGUUCUGUGUUCGCUCAUGUGCAUUUUUAAAGGUAAGAGAGUUUGCUUCUACUAUUCUUGGCCGCCAUGGAGAAGGUUUGCUAAAUGAGGUCAGAUAUCUAGCAGUCAUUCAUCUUGUAGCAUUUCCUUGCAGGAUUUAGUCGGAGAGAAAAGGUAGCAUUUUGUUUUUUAUAUUUUUACAAUACCAGAGCUACUACCACAUGUUGAGUAUCCAUUAAUCUGUGGAUGGGCGUCCGGGUUCUUUCCAGCUCCUGCCCGUUAUAAAUAAGGCUGCGAUGAACAUAGUGGAUCAGUUACCUAUGAUUUCUUAAAUUCAUGGUUUUUUAGAGCUGAAUAGUAUUCCACUGUAUAGAUGUCUUUUUGAAAUGUGGGAUGAUGUAUCUGGGGAGGCAGGUACAAGAUAAAAUGAGUUCUCUCAUUGGACAAGAAGGAAGGAAGUGCAGGAGGAAAGUCUGAAGGAAGGGGACAGAAGAUAAGGAGGAGUGUGUAGAAGCCAGGCUGAGAGAAAAGUGAAGCUGACAUGGAUAUUCCAAUUUGGGCAUUUACAGGUUGUCAUGAAUGUCCUUGAGUGAUGGAUUUGUAUAGGGCUUUGUAUGUUUAUGUGGGGAAUUAUAUCUCAUAAAUUGUAUCAAAGGUUAUUGUAUUGUGUGUUCCCUCAUGUGCAUUUUUAAGGGUUAGAGAGUGUACAGCUCCUAUUCAAGGCCGCCAUGUUGACGCUUUGCUGAAUUGCUGAAUGAGGUAACUUACUUAGCUGCUAUGCUGUUCCAUUGCCUUCCUGGAUCUAUUCGGAGAGAGAAGGUAGAGUUUUGCUUUUUAUAUUUUUACAGAGCCAGAGGUGUAUCACAUUUGCUGUAUCCAUGCCUCUGUGAAAGGGCAUCUGAGUUCUUCCCAGCUCCUGCCCAUUAUAAAUAAGGCCACAAUGAACAUAGUGGAACAAUUACCUAUGAUUUCUUCAAGUCACGGUUUUUUGCAGCUGAAUAGUACUCCACAGUGUAGAUGUGCUGUAGAAAUGUGGGAUUAUGUCACUGGUGAGGCAGGUACAAGAUAGAAUGAGGCCUCUCAUUGGAGGAGAAGGAAGGAUGUGUGGGAGGAAUGUCUGAAGGAAGGGGAGGAGACUGUUAGAAUGUUCCUGGGAAUUGAUGACUAGAGGGCCUUUGGGUUUGGGUGGGAAAUUAUAUCCUAUAAAUUGAAUCAAAGUUUAUUGUGUUCUGUGUUCGCUCAUGUGCAUUUAUAAGGUAAGAGAGUUUGCUGCUACUAUUCUUGGCCGCCAUGGAGAAGGUUUGCUAAAUGAGGUCAGAUAUCUAGCAGUCAUUCAUCUUGUAGCAUUUCCUUACUGGAUUUAAUCGGAGAGAAAAGGUAGCAUUUUGUUUUUUAUAUUUUUACAGUACCAGAGCUACUACCACAUGUUGAGUAUCCAUUCCUCUGUGGAUGGUCUUCUGGGUUCUUUCCAGCUCCUGCCCGUUAUAAAUAAGGCUGCGACGGACAUAGUGGAGCAGUUACCUAUGUUUUCUUGAAGUCAUGGUUUUUUUAGAGCUGAGUAGUAUUCCACUGUAUAGAUGUCUUGUUAAAAUGCGGGAUGAUGUCACUGGUGAGGCAGGUACAAGAUAGAAUGACGCCUCACAUUGGAGAAGACGGAAAAAUGUGCAGGAGGAUAGUCUGAAGGAAGGUGAGGGGACUGGAAAGGAAGGGAACUGAAGGGAACAGAAGAGAAGGAGGAGUGCAGAGAAGCCACAUGGCGAGAACACUGAAGGUGACUUAGGAUUCCACUCUCUGCUUUUACAGGUUGUCAUGAAUGCUCUUGAGGGACGGGUUUGUGUAGUGCUUUUUUAUUUUUAGUUUGGGAAUUAUAUCUCAUAAAUUGUAUCAAUGGUUAUUUUGCUGUGUGUUUCCUCACCUGCAUUUUUCAGUGUUAGGCACUGUGGGGCUGCAAUUCUGGGCCGCCCUGCAGAGGCUUUGCUCAAUGAGGUAAAAGAUGUCGCAGUUAUCUUGGGACAUUCCCUUGCUGGAUUCAGUCUGAGAGAAAAGGUAGCAUUUUGUUUUUUAUAUUUUUCAAAACCAGAGCUACUACCACAUGUUGAGUAUCCAUUCCUCUGUGGAUGGACGUCUGGGUUCUUUCCAGCUCCUGCCCAUUAUAAAUAAGGCUGCUAUGCAUAUAGUGGAGCAAUUGCCUAUGAUUUCAUGAAGUCAUUGCUUUUUAUAGCUGAAUAGUAUUCCACAGUGUAGAUGUAUUGUAGAAAUGUGGGAUGAUUUCACAGGUUCGGCUGUUACUAGAAAGAAUGAGGCAUUUCAUUGGAAGAGAAAGAAGGAUGUGCAGGGGGAAAGUUUGAGGGAAUGGUAAGAGACUGGAAGGGAAGGGAAUGUAAGAGAGGGAGGUGUCUGGAAAAGCCAUAUUGAGAGAACUCUGAAUGUGACCUUAGGAUUCCACUCUGCUUUUACAGGUUGUUAUCAAUAGUCCUGAGGGAUGGAUGACAAUAGGGUUUUGUACGUUUAGGUGGGGAAUUAUAUCCCAUAAAUUGUAUCAAAGGUUAUUGUUUUGUGUGUUCCCUCAUGUACAUUUUUAAAAGUAAGAGAGUGUGGGGCCACUAUUGUAGGCCGCCAUGGAUAGCUUUCCUGAAUCAGGUCACCUAUGUAGCAGUUAUCUUGUUGUAUUGCCUUGCUUGGAUCUAUUCUGAGAUAAAAGGUUGCAUUUUGUUUUUUAUAUUAUUCUAAAACCGUAGAUGUACCACAUUUUCUGUAUCCUUUCCUCUGUUGAAGGGCAUCUGGAUUCCUUCUAUCUUCUGCCUAUAUCAUAAAUAAGGCUUCUGUGAACAUAUUGGAGCCCUUGCCUUUGUUAUAUAUUUGAGCAUCUUUUCGCUAUAUGCCCAAGAGUGGUAUGGCUGGGUACUGGUGUAGUGCAAUGUCCUGUUUUCUGAGGAAACUCCAUACUGUUUUCUAGUGUUGUUGUUCCAGAUUGCAAUCCUGUCAACAAUGGAGUAGUGUUCCUUUCUCCAGCUCCUUGCCUGCAUUUGUUGUCCCCUGAGUUUUUGACCUUAGCCAUUCUGAAUGAUGUGAGGUGGAAUCUCAGGGUUGUGUAUGUUGCAUUUCCCUGAUGACUAAGGAUUUUGAGGUUUUCUUUAGCUACAUUUCAGCUAUUUGAUAUUCUUACUCAGGUAAGAAAUAUUUUUUUAGCUCUGCAUCCCAUUUUUAAUAGGUUUGUUUGGCUUCAUGAGUUCUUUGUAUAUUGGAUAUAAGCCCUUUUAUCAAAUUUAGGAUUGGCAAAGAUCUUUCCUCAAUGUGUUGUUUGCUUAUCCUAAAGACAGUGUCAUGUGCCUUACAGAAUCUUUUGAGUUUUAUGAUGUCCUGUUUGUCCAUUCUUGAUCUUAGAGCAUAAGCCAUUGAAAUUUUGUUCAGGAAAUUUCCCCCAGUGUCCUUGUGUUCCAGAGUCUUCCCCAUUUUUCUUCUGUUUGCUUGAGUGUAUCUGGUUUGAUGUGGGUGUCCUUGAUCCACUUUGACUUAAGCUUUAUACAUGGUGAGAAGAGUGUAUCAGUUUGCAUUCUUCUACAUCCUUGACCUCCAGUAGAACCAGCAGCAGUUGUUGAAAAUGCUAUCCUUUUUUCACUGGAUGGUUUUAGCUACUUUGUCAAAGAUCAUGUGACCAUAGGUGCCUGGGUUCAUUUCUGGGUCAUCACUUCUAUUCCACAGAUCACCCUGCCUGUUUCUGUAACAAUAACAUACAGUUUUUAUGACUAUUGCUCUGUUACACAUUUUGAGGUCUGUAAUGGUGAUUCCCCCAUAAGUUCUUUUUUUGUUGAGGAUAAUUUUCACUAUCCUGUUUUUUUCAAUAUUGCAAAUAAAUUGGCAAAUUGCUUUUCUUAUUUUUUGAAAAAUUGUGUUGUGAUUUUGAUGGGGAUUGCAUUGAAUCUGUAGAUUGCUUUUGACAAAAUGGCCAUUUUUACUGUAUUAAUCCUGCCAAUCCCUGAGCAUGCUAGGUCUUUUCAUCUUUUUAGAUCUUCAUUUUCUUUCUUCAAAUAAUUCAAAUUUUUAUCACAUAGAAAUUUUACUUCUUUGGUUAGAGUCACAUGAGGUUUUGUUUUGUUUUUUUUUUGUUUUUUUUUGUUUUUUUGUUUUUUUUUCAUUUCGGACUGUUAUGGAGGGCGUCAUUUCCCUAAUUUCUUUCUCAGCCUGUUUAUCCUUUCAGUAGAGGAAGGCUACUGAUUUGUUUCAGAUAAUUUUUUACCAAGACACUUUGCUGAAGUUGUUUAUCAGGAUUAGUUAUUUCUCUGGAACUUUAGUAAUCAGUUAAGUAUGCUAUCCUAUCAUCUGCAAAUAGUGAUAUGUUGACUUCUUCCCUUCCAAUUCUAUCCCUUUGACCUUUCAAUGUCUGAUUUCUCUGACUAGGACUUCGAGUACUAAAUUGAAUAAGUAGGGAGAGUGUGGGCAGCCUUAUUAUCCCUGAUUUUAGUGGGAUUGCUUCAAGUUUCUCUCCAUUUAGUUUAAUGUUGGCUACUGGAUUACUGUACAUUGCUUUUACUAUUUUUAGGAGAAAGUAUAAUAGAGGGUAAAGAUUCCUAAAAUCCACACUGUAUACUAGACUAUACUCUUGAUUUGUUUCAGUCUUAUAAAAACAUGAAAAGCAACUUAUUAUGUAAAAUAAGGAUCAUCAUGCACUUAAAUUGAUGAUUUCUCCGGGGGUAAAUAGUAGUAUAUAUGCAGUUACUAUCGAAAAGCCACCCGAAGUUGAGUGUUUGCCUGUAUUUGUGUAGGUUAAAUUAACCCAGUGACUAUUUACUUAAGAUUAUAUGUAUAAUUCUAUCUUUUACCCUGGAACAUUAAACAUUAGUACAGAGAAUAGUGAUAAAAUUAUCAAGAGUGAUGUAUUUGCUAGAGUAAUACCAACUUGGAAAUUCUGUGGUAUUGAUUCAAAUUCUCUCUUUCUCUGUAUGCAGCCCAGUUUAGGUCUCUGUGUUUUUCCAUCCUCUGUAAGAGGAAACUUUGAUGGUGGCUGAGCAAAACACUUACAGAGGGAAACUACUAUAGAGGGAAACAUCAUUUGGGGUCAUUUAAUUAAUUGCUUUGUUCUUUUAGGAGAAAAAUAGUGUUUGGUUUUCCUUCCUAGGCUCAUGGCCCAGAGCCUUGAUACCCUGAUUAAUGUUAGACAUGAAUUCAUCUUAUUCAGCAGGCCUUAAACCCAUUGAGAGAGUAAUUGUUUACUGGCAUAGCGUUUUUGCUACUAUGGAGCAGAACAUGGCUUGUAGUUGGGUUGAUGGUUACAGUUUUUCUUCUAGUAUCAUAAAGAGUAACUUCCAGUAUCUUGAAUGUUAGUCAGUAGGGAUAAAGGUUGUACAGGUACCAGUUUGACUUCCUUGUUCAACAGUGUGGCCUUACCAACAGGUUUUACAACUUACAAGCCUUUUCCAUAGCCUAAGUUGUUUGGAGUUAUCCAUUUGGCCAGUGACCCAACUAGAUAUAAACAAUUCCUGGCACGGCAUAUUUCACUUGGUGGUGAAUGCUAUAUAGAUAGUUAUGAGAAUUGUUUCCUUCAGUAUUUAUUGACUCCAUUAGAUUUUUUCCGUGUUGUGUAUAUAUAUAUAUAUUUUAAGAAACAUAUACAGUCACGAGCUACCAUAUGACACUUUAAUUGGCCCUUAAUGAUUAUGGAUUGGAAAGUUAAGAAAGUUAAGAAGACUAUUAGAAUCUAAUGUAUGAACAUUUCAUCAAAGGGCUUGGAUGCAGUGCCCUAUUUAGAACGGUGCUGGUGUGAUGAAUGAAGUUUGAUCAGUGCCUUUCUGAGUAGAGUAAGGCUUACCACAUUCUACAUUUAAUAUGAUUUCUAGUGAAGUGCCUUCUGUAUAAUCAUAGAUGAGCUAAAUAUUUCUUGUAUUUUCUAAAACCAUACAAAUAUUAAAUAUCAUAUUCAAUUUUGGAUGUGCGUUUUCGUAGGUUGUCCUUAUUCUUCAUCUCCGUACCUCCCUACUACUAAUCCUAUUAUCUUGUAACCUACAAUCUUGAAUCUGUUUUCUUCUUUUAUAUCUUUUGGUUUCUUUUUCUUUUCCUUAUUCUUUUGAUGGUGGUACACAAAACAUUUUUAUUGCAUUUUUGGUUGACUUAACCUACUUAACAGGAAAGAAAGCAUCUUUGUUAUUGUAAAGCUGGUCAUGUUUUUAAUGACUGGAAAGGUUACAAAACUAGGAGAGAACCUACUAUUAUUGCGUGUAAUUUCGUUUUAAAAAUAUUUUUUAUUUAGAUUUGAUGGCAGGGAAGCAUUAGCUUCUUCCCAAGGGGACCCUUUUGCCAACAACUUGUUUAGAUAGUACACAGUGUUUCUGGAAGUAUCAUGUAUAUGAGCAUGGUGCAGUAUCAUCAAAUUCACUAGAGAUUUUUUAACCUGAUCCCUGAAUUAAGUAACUCCACAGUAAUUGUAACUAUGGAAAUAACCCAGAAUAAAAUCAAGAGUAAUGAACAAGGGAGAUAAAUAAAGGAUACUUUAGUUGCCAUUAUGGUUUAGGAGUAAGAGCAAAGAAGAGGGAAUGUGGAAAAAUGAAUAUAUUUAGAAUACUGUGAAUACUCCUUUAAUUGGUUAACUUGCAACCAUGUGGACUACAUGAGUAAUAGAUGACAGAUAAUUUCAACUGCCCAUUUAGUGUAUAGAUACAAUAAACCUAGUGAACAUAAAGUCUUAGUAAGUCGUUUCAGAAAAACAAAGUAUAUCCUAAUCAUUCCUGCAGUUGUGCAUAUAAACAGAGACUACAACAAAGGAUCUAUAGAGAUAUAUAUUAAAAGCCAAUGUGGUCGAAAGCCCAUUGGACUUAACAGUUAAAUAAUUUUGGGUUGCAAGUAUGCUGGAUUUAGAGAUCUGAUGAAAUAUUUGGGCAAUUAUAGAAGCUGAUGAAGCUUAAAUUCUCUAUAACCAUGCUAUGUGCACUUCUUUACGCUCAUAACUAUGAGUUAAUUUUCCUCUUAACUAAGUCCUAUCUGGUAGAGUACUGAUCCGUAGGCAUGCUGCUUAUGAUGUGACCUGUAUGUUGAUAGUGAUAUUCAGGUAUGGUAUGAUCUGAACAGUAUGGUUGCAGGAGAACAUGGCUUGGUCCUUUGAAUCUACAUAUCCUUCAAAGGUAUGCUAUAAAUGUGGACAACUUUAAAUUCUAUCUUUAAAACAUAUACGUAUGUAAUGAAUUUGAAAGAGAAGAAGGUACUUGGGAGAGCUUUUCUCAAAAUGAAAAACAAGACUAAAGAAACAUCAAUGUAAUUCAUAAAUGCAAAUCUGCCUAAGGCUUGUUGUCUUUGCCAGUCAGGCUUUAAAAGAGAAUGCAAGUAGAUGUGAUUUUAGUAAAACUGAUAAUGAAACAAUUAGAUGACUAUUUUCAUCAAGAAAUACAUCAAAAAGGGGGUAUGAUUUUUUUAUUGGGAUAAUUCGUUUUAUUUUGAAUAUUGAAAAUGAUGGAGGGAGUGUGAUGGGACUUCCUCAUUAAUGUAAUAGUGUGCUAUGCCCUGCUUGUACUUAUUCUGGUGACAUGAGGUAUCUGUGACUAGGGUAGUAUGAGUAGAGUAAAGUUCACCAAAUUCUUCAUUUGAUCAGUCUGGAUGAUGAGUAUGGUGGCUUCUCCUUAAUUUAGAUGUUCUAUGGUUACUUCUGUAACUUAGGCUUCCUUUGGAUGAUUUCAGUUGUUCAUUUGCCAUCUCACAAAUAGCUAGAAGUCAGAGAAUUGAACACAGUUAUUAAAAUGUUUUAUAAUAGAUAAAUAUUUAAUGUGAUCUCAUUAUGCUUUGACAAUUAUAGAAGCAAACAGAAACUUGACUAUAAAAUUCAGGUGGAAAAAAUGCAAGAUGGAAGACAUCAUACCAGAGUUGUAUGAUUGUGAUUUGUUAAUUUUGUUCCUAUGCUGUUCUUUAGCCAUCUGGUUGUCCUGGUUUUCAGUGCAUGAUCCUGAUGACAGCAGGACUCUUUAGGAAGGUAAGAAGUGCUGUGGUCCAAGACCAGGAUAGUCAGGGGUAGUAUGCAGCUCACCUAAGGCAUACCUGAGUGGUGAGGGAUUGGUGGGACACAGUUCCAUUCUGAUUGUUGCUGCCCACCCUCUUCAAGGAUUACCCAAGGAAGUGGAUGCUUUGUGGUCCUUUAAGUGUCCCCAGGAAAGCAGGGUGAACACAGAGCCAGACAUUGGUAGUCAAGGCACUCUGAAACUCACCUAUGUUUGUUGUGCCUCUGGAGGACCAGGCUACUACACCUCUUACUAAGGGUUUUUCCUACCAAGUUUUCUGUACUUACAUGCUUUUCACAUGAAGUACAUAUGACCAGAGAGCUGUUCUAGAUAGAGAAACACACUGUCCAAUAUUUCUUGUAGCACACACCUCACCAUUUUUUAUAGGUACAAACACAGUGGAAUUGCCACUUAAACAAGAAUGCACCCUUAACAACAGAUGUAUUUAAGACACAUAUUGAAGCUGUGUGUGUGUGUGUGUGUGUGUGUGUGUGUGUGUGUGUGUGUGUGUGUGUGUGUGUGAAUCUUCUUGUGUCUCUUUUAUGGAACUAAUGUGUAUAUAUGCAUGUCUGUGUAUCCCAUUGUGUUCAUAUAUAGGUUAGAGGUCAACUUGCUAGAAUCAGUUCUAGAUCUCCUUCCACUUGAAGGUUUCUUGGGUUUAAACUUGGUCAUCGGGCUUGGUGUUAAGUACCUUUACUCUCGAAUCACCCUGCUGGCCCUCGUGCAGUUUUAAUGCUGGGAUGAUAAGUAAAUGUAUGAUGCUCAUUUUCCAUAAAAUUAAUAUCAAAUAUGCUGUGUGUAAAGCAUUACUUAGAUUAAUACCACUCAGCUAAAUAAAUAACUAUGGCACAUGUCUGAGUCAAGUUCUCAGUUUCAUGUGACAGUGAUGAUGAUAUAUAUGCACUUACCAAUGACAGAACUUCUCUGAUCUUUUAAUAAAUGUAUGAUUUAGGGGUUGGGGAUUUAGCUCAGUGGUAGAGCGAUUGCUUAGGAAGCGCAAGGCCCUGGGUUCGGUUCCCAGCUCCGAAAAAAAGAACCAAAAAAAUAAAUAAAUAAAUGUAUGAUUUAAUGAAUGUAUGAUUCCUUGCAGUAUCCCAUUUUAUGAAUAAUUACAGAUAAAAUAACACAAAUUUGGAGAAUAAUUUUCUGCUCAUAGAAAAAUGCAUUUGUAUUUUGUAAUCAUUAAGAACAUAUUAUAGCAGGUAUAGUUAUUAGGAUAAGGAUAGUCUGAGUAUGGUACCACAUGACUAUUAUUCCAGUUAUUUGGGACCAUCAAAUGUAACAGUUUCAAGACCAGCUUUGGCUAUAAAGCAAGUUUAAAGUUUUAUAUAUAUAUAUAUAUAUAUAUAUAUAUAUCAGAGGCCUACUGGGUCUGGACUUAGAGAAGAUGCACCUAGCCCUCAAGAAACGUGGACCCUAACUGGUGGAAUGUCAGGGUGGGGACAUCCUCAUGGAGAUGGGGGGAAAGGAAUAUGGAAUGUGGCGCAGUUAGAGAGUGGACCAGGAGAGGGACAAAAUGCGAACUUAAAAAAACUUAAACAGUUUUUAAAAAAGAAAGUUCAAAGGUAUUCUUGCAAAAGUAUGGAAACCUUAUAACUGAAAAUGUGAAUAUAGCUAGAUGUGUUCAGAUGGAUGGGUGGAGUACUUGCCAUUGUGUUAGUGAAUUAAGGAGAUAACCUUUAGGACAAUGCAUUUUACUCCACAUAUUGUAUUAAUUUAAAAAAUAAUGAUUGUAAUGAAAUAGAAGUCAGCUAAAUUUUUUAAGAAAUCGAAGAGAAAUGCAAGUUACCAUCUAAGGUCAUUGAGUAAAUUAUGUCACUCUAGAAUUCUCAUGCAUUUUCAAACUGUGAUGAACGUUUAAUGGAUAAAGAGGACUUGGAUGCCAGACUGUUGUGUGCCGUGCUGUACUCAGAUUAGUGUCACUCCAGGACAUAAAUAUGUAUGGCGCUCCUCUGAGUAGAAUAAGGCUCACUCUGUUCCCAAUUUGAUACACCUCGGUGAUAAUGGUGCUAUAUGUACAGCCAACCUUGACAACCUUCUAUGGUCAUUUUGUACACUACUGCAUACAGGGAUAUAUGGUUCUUUGUUGUGGUCUCUGUUUAAUCUUUAUCACAUGUACAGUUGCAUGUAAAAAGUCAUAAAGACUUUCUUAGUGAUAUGAAAAUAAACAAAAGAACCCAUCCAUCUUGUGUUUAUAUAGUUCAUUGAACAGACAGAAUAUCAAAGCACCAAAAUUGAGCUACAAAGUGAUGUAUAGGCUAGUCAGGAUGCCAUGGGUAUUGAAUCCCAAGUUCCUGGGACACCAUAACAAGAGAACAUAGUCUACAAGGUAAGUUUAAAGAUAUGAUUAACAAUGCAUAUAGAACAUUUCAAAAUUAAGCAUUAGCACAUUCACAUUCAAGUUGUUCUAAGAUUUGGGUGAUUGGAUGUAACAGAUUCUCUAAACAAAAUAAUCAAGUAUAUUAGGGUUUAUUGAUACUUCAAUGGCAGUACUAUUUAUAAUUAUUAUAGGUUUGAAUAAUACUUUCUUAGUUACACAUUGAAAGAAGUAUUCUAGUAGCUCUCACUAUUUUUAUUUUAUGUAUUGUAAGUGUUUUAACUAAAUAUCUAUUAUGUAAGAUACACGCAGGCUGCUGUACAUGGAGGAGAGUAAAGGAUAUCAGAUUCCCUGGAACUGAAAUACUGGAUGAUUAUAAGCCAAGAUAUGACUGAAAUAAAUUCCAGUCUCCUGCAAGAGCAUGAGAGGCUAUGUAGUAAAAAUCAGUCACAAAAAGAGAGUGCAAAUGAAAGAACAUACUCUUAACAUAUGUGUGGAGAAGAUGGCUUCGUAAUAGAACAUCAAGAUAGAUUAAAUGGAAAAUAAUUAACACCUACAUGUUACAAGAGAAGAAAAACAACCUGAAUGAUAAAUCCGUAUUCACAUAUGUGAAAUUGCACUCCCUCUUGUUUUGAGAAGACCAUUCAUGGAAACAGAAGACGCAUCAGAGGAAUUUAUGGUGAAGAACUGUGUGUGUGUGUGUGUGUGUGUGAGAGAGAGAGAGAGAGACAGAGAGAGAGAGAGAGAGAGAGAGAGAAUUAUAAAGUAUGUCAGGUUUUAGCUGUUAUGUUCAGUUGAUACAUUGAUAGUUAAAGUGGAUCAUGCAAGUUACAUUUGCAACAUUUUCAUAUUAAACUAUGGUGUACCCUGUUU
Non-coding RNA from Rattus norvegicus (Norway rat), 56243 nucleotides. The record is from RefSeq and is a predicted model, not a curated record. NCBI's taxonomy places the organism in Eukaryota, Metazoa, Chordata, Mammalia, Rodentia, Muridae.